Molecule: long non-coding RNA, 77743 nt
Filed under: Triticum aestivum (bread wheat)
Lineage: Eukaryota; Viridiplantae; Streptophyta; Magnoliopsida; Poales; Poaceae
Description: long non-coding RNA (TAES_LNC015771)
Source: RNAcentral
AAGAAGCGCAAGAAGAAGACCUACACCAAGCCCAAGAAGCAAAAGCACAAGCACAAGAAGGUGAAGCUCGCCGUCCUCCAGUUCUACAAGGUCGACGACGCCACCGGCAAGGUCACCAGGCUCAGGAAGGAGUGCCCGAACGCCGACUGCGGCGCCGGCACCUUCAUGGCCAACCACUUCGACCGCCACUACUGCGGCAAGUGCGGCCUCACCUACGUCUACAACCAGAAGGCUUAGAGGUGGCUUGCGUUUGCUCUGCUCUUUUACCUACCUACCUAUCGAGAGUCGAACUCAUUUAGAUGUGUCCCGUUUGUCGUUUAAACUGAAUCCUUGAGUAUCAUGUUUCCUGAAUAUUUCAUCGCCUACUGCUGUUAUGCGAUGCGUGCUUAAAUUUUGGUGUCCGUAUGCUAUCAGUCUAAAUGCUUUUAAUCCAUUCCAUGUCGGCUAUCUUAUUCUAUGCUUUGUUGAUCUUAAUAAGGUGGUGCGAUCACGAGACAUGUUGAUGCAUGGGUUCUUCAGCUUAUAACCCAUUAUUGCAGGUGUUUCUAGAUUAGCCAAUAGCUAUGCAGGUCUUACAUGUGGAUGAAUAUUUUGCUAUUGCUGUUUUGUUAUGUGUUGAUUCUUUGAGGUGUGUGAUCUUUAUCACUUGCAAUUAGAAUUCAGUUCAUUCCAAGCGGUUGUGUGGUUGGUUUGUUCUACGUAUCUGUUUUAGUUCAUACCUAGAUGUGCCUGAAACUGUGAAUAUAUGUAGUCAGUUACCUUUGGCUAUAGACAGUGGCAGUGCGAUGAUUGCUAGUGUGGAGCAUAGUUCUGCCUUGUGGUUUAGCCAUCAGUUUUGUGUGUGUUAACCAUUCACCAUUGCCUACCUUCGGUGGUAAUAUUGGUUGGGUCUAUUGUGCCAUAUGUCUAUCGGUUUACAGUUGUAGAUGUAGGUGAGUUUUGCUGUCCUCUUGAGAUGUGAUGAGGCAUCAGUCUCUCACAUAAGCUGUAGAUCUGUACUCCCUCUCUGUAAAGAAAUGUAAGAGCGUUUAGUGAUGUAAAUAGAUGCUCUUAUAUUUGUUUACGGAGGUACCAGUAGUUUACAAUUGCCGACGUAAUCAGUGAACUGGUUCAGUAUCUCGGUAUGUUUAGCCAAUUCCAUUUCAGAAUUGGCCCAACGCUGCAUAAGCAACAGUGGCAUUGCUGUUUAUGCCCUGCCAAUGGCCCUGUAGCUGGGAUUUAGUACUGAUGUUGUUUGCGGAUGAAACAUGUGACUGAAAUUUUCACGUCUCUGUCUCCGUGCAAGCCUAGGGGGCUUGUUUGUAUACAAGCCUGUAGCAUGAAGUUGUAGCUAAGAGUGCUUCUGGAUUGUGGUCGUGCAAUUUCAUGAACUGUGAUCAGCGGCAGCGUUGCUAAACCAGCGAGAACCCAGUUCGGAUGUGUUUGGUUGGGAAAAGGCGCAGCGGCAGCGUCUCUCUUAUCGAGGUCCUGGACGCCUUGCCGCAGUGCUGCCUGUUCAUGCCCUUGUGCUGUGCCGUUGUUGAGUUUUCCUCUCACGGCCAUACCGAGGGCGACAUGUGGCACCCAAAAUCCAUUCGCUGGCACAGAGAUGAAAUAAGGUUAAGAGAAGCUCGUAGUGGGGUGUUGAGGAGCUUGUAGCUCCCAGAAAUCAAAGAAGCGAGAGUUGACUAUAAAUACAUAUGCACGCCAACCAAUUCACUGCACCUAAUCUCACUAUGCCUCCCUCAUCGAGCUCACCAUUCCCCUUUUCUCUCGUUACGCAUUCGACCUGGGGAUGCGUCGCUACUACGCCCAUGACCUACCAUGUACUAACUCGCCAUUGGCUGUCUCGCAAAGCUUGUCGUCCUGAGCACCAGAGCCGCCAAGCACGCAAAACUUGUCCCGCCUCCCCUUGCUCGAUCGUUGUCUCGUCGACGCCUUGGUGCAUCGCUUUAUGCCUGGAAUGAGACCGUGACAUUGAACUAAGGCAUUUGGGGUGCAAUCGCCACCAUCCCUAACUCGGUCAGAUCUAAGCCGAAUGAGCUGCCAGCCCGUGCUAGUGCUCUGGUUUUUUAACGGGAUGUUGGGCAGAGGAGUUGAGGAUCCGAGGGAUCCAGAGGGUUACCGAACAUGCACUUAUUUUUUUAGGGGAACUUGCAACUUUAUUUAAAUUAAGCAAAGGUUGGGACCUCGUCCGCUACAAUAUAAAUAAUGCAGUCUGGAGGAAAAUCAAAAUAAAUCGUAAUCAUUGCACGCCCUCUCUCUAGCUAAACCAUGCGCCGCACCAUUUGCAGAGUGCCGAACCCAUGAGAUUUUGAACUCCUGCGAGUUCUCAAAAGCUCCUUAAUCUCCUCCACAACCGGGCCAAACGUCGAAAGGUUCUUGCCUUCUCCUUGAAGCAUCGCCACCACCUCCUGACUAUCCAGCUCGACAUGGAGUCGUUGCACGUCCAUAGUAAUCGCCAUUUGCACGGCGCUUUUCGCUGCAAGAAUCUCCGAGAGCUGGGGGUGGCCGGCACCUGGGAAGCAGAUCGCAGCUCCUCCCCUAAAAGCACCAUGGUGAUCCCUGAGAACCACUCCUCCCCCCUUGUCGUCCGUUCGGGCCGUCGCUCCAUCCGCAUUUGCCUUGGUCCAUCCCGGCUCCGGUGGAAGCCACCUUUCCGGUCGCCUUGGCUCCUUGAUCGACCCCUCCUUGGAGUGAACUAGACGCCAUUCCUGGAUAUAACAGUGAACUUUCUCUGCCAACUCUCGAGCAUCUUGGAUCCUUCUCCCGUCCCUAGCAUCAUUUCUUGCGCACCAAAUACCAUACAGAGCCUGGACCAUCAUUUCGCGUUUAGCCCCGCUCGCUUCCGCAAACCAGGCCUUGAGCCACGCCACCAGGCCAGUCAGAGAACCGUCCAUCGCCGGCGGCCUGACAACAGGCUCCCCCUUGUUCUCGCACAAAUAUUUCUAGAAGAGCUCGGAGUGGGGGCACGCCCAAAAGCGAUGGUAUAAGGUUUCUUCCCUGCCACAAGCGCAACAGAACACACCCGGUUUGAUUCGUCUACGGUGCAGUUCGGUUCCGACAGCUAGGCCAUUCUUCAGCAACCUCCAAGUAUGAAUCUUGGCCUUCCCCGGCGCAUUAGUGUCCCAUAAAGCGAGCCAAGCCUUGUGCUCCUUGCUGGGCAUCGACGAUCCCGACUGUCCGGUUUUCACGUCCCGUAAGCUCAUGCCGAAGUGGUAGGCGGACUUGACAGUGAACUCGCUCCUUCUUGGUGAAGUUCCAUGCAAUAUAAUCUUGCAUGUUCGCCCCCCCCCACCACCACCACAAUAUGCUUGAUAUCCUCAACGUCUCCCGGUGAAAACAUCAUCUCCAGCUUCUCCAUAUCCCAUGCACUUAUUAUUUCGUAGUCAUUUUUCAUUGCGAAGCGAUAUGAGAUGGCAACAUCUUAUGUUACUCAAUUUGUCUCUCUCUUUAACUACUUACCACAUCAUCUUUUUGCCUAUAUAAAUACCUACAAUCAUUUAAUAAAAGAUUAAUUGCUAUUUCAUUUUACAUCUUCGUCGAUCGUCCCUUGUUUACUUUGGGUCAUAAAUGACUAUAAAUCGUCCUUGGUGGCAACGUUCGCCCAUCCUCCCCUUCUCUUGGCGUGCGCCACUUGAAUGCGGCGUCUUCCCAUGAUCUGAUCCAGCAACGCUCGCAUAGUAAGUUUAGCUCAAUGAUAGAAUCACACACUUGAUAAAAAAUGGCAUACCUCCAAACUUACAAGUUUUCUAGGCCGUGUCUUCCCUCUCUCUAUGCAAUCUCUCUUCCACGCUGCUCCACCUUUGGUUCCCCGGUUGCUCUUUGUCCUAGAUGAUGAAGUGUUGUUGAACCGUUGAUAUGAUACAUGUGGAUACGGUAGAGGGGUCGUGCUUUCGACUCUCGAUCGAGGAAAAAUUCUUGUAGCUGGGAGGUAAUACCUAGCUACGGGAAUUUGCACAUCUUCAUCUCUCUUUGUGUUGGUUAGAUCGAUCUUGUCCAUUCAUUUUCAUAAUGUUCUUGGGUGUGUUAGUAUGGUAUUUUUUUUGCUUUGUACCAUGUUCUCCAACAUAGUCUGGUCCCAAAAUUGUAUAUAAUCAGUAUGACCCUCAACAAUUUAGGCCAACCAUAGUAGACUUUUACUUUCCAAAUACAUAUGGCCCCAAAAUGGAUCGAAAUUAAAUGGGCCAAACAACAUGAGAUGACCCAGUAAAUUGUAAUAGGCCUCUGUUGGGCCAACACUUCCUUAAUGGCUAGGAUGACAAGUUGACUAACGACACCAUCACUACGCCAUUAAUAGCGGCUGCCACGUGCCAGUCUUCUGCCAUGUCAACCUCACUCGGGACAAAAACACUUCCAUGUCACGCCAUUUUUUCUCAUGGAAAAGCACACUUCAAUAACAAAAACCGAGUUUUGUCAUUGAAGUGAUCUAUGACCGACAUAGUAUGGCAUCUACACUCUAUCAUAGAUUUGUCAUGAAUGCACAUCGAUGACAAAAACCCGCACCUUCUAUCAUGAAGGUGUAUUGUCAUGGAUGUAUUUUUUUAGUGUAGUGGAUAUAUGGCAUCAAUGCUCUAAAGUCUCAUGUCAGUUUAUGUGAUGUUGUGGGGCCAACGUUGGGGUUGCCGUGUCACUGUAGGGAUGACAUUCCUGGUCAGAUCCGGGCCCUUGAUCAACCCCUAGACUCCUAUGGUCUUACCGCUGAAGAGUGCUUCAGCGGUGUGCCUUGAGGUCUCCCUUAUGGAAAUCUACAAGGGUGAGGAGAUAUUCUAGCAACAACGGAGCCGGCAGAAUUGGCUACUGAAGGGUGAUGCCAACACCACCUACUUUCAUGCCAUUGUGAAUGGGAGAAGGUGAAAGAAAGUGCUCCAUCUCGUUUGGACGGUGCCCUCCUAGAGGAAUCCAAGGACAUUUUCACCCACAUUUACUCCUUCUACAAGGAGCUCUUCUGGGUAGGUCAACGACUACUGGCAUGAGGGGGGCAAGGUCUCAGCCACUGAGAAUGUGGAUCUCACCUUCUCAUUCUUGACCGAGGAGGCCAGUCGAGCUAUCAUGGAGACGAAGGUACCCUUAUCUUUAACCUUGUAGUUGAUGUUGUCCAGUUAUCUUGGAGAAGGCCAAGAUAUAUAGUUACAUCUCUGGUGUGGUUGGGAAAAUUGUCCCAAGCAGGGUAUCACCUCAAGUUCAUGGUAACACCUUGAUCAUGGUAGAAGGAAUGGAACCUGUCAUUGUCUACCUCAAAGUCCCUCGUAUACUUUGAGGCUAUGCGUCGUCUCAGGAUGAACUUCAGAAGAGGGAAGUGGUGGUCACGAGUUACCCUCCCAAGGAUCAACUACAAAUGCAUGACACUUGGAACAAAAGAUAGGCAGAUUGAUUCCAGUGUGAUACAUGCGUGAGUGAUACCUAAAAUUAAAAUGUAAAAUAAAAUUGAAAUAAUACAAACCGUCUAAUUUUCAUGAAGUCAACAUGCGUACACCGGCGUGAAUAUGACAAUGAUGAAUAGAUUAUGCUUCAGUUGGCACUAACUAGCAAUGUUCAUGACUGGUACCUAGAGGCAACAAUGAAACCUAAAAUAUAGGAAAAAGUGUAUGAAAACCCAAACAUACAUGCGACAUGGCAAGAAAGAUUGGCGGCUCAGUUCCAGUGUGGUACAUGCAUAGGUUGUAACAUGACAAGGAAGCAAAACAAUGUUCCACGAUGCAAUAAAAGAAAUAGUUUCAGUUGUGAUAAAGUACUAUGCAAUAAAUCGUUUCUGUUGUGAUAAAAGAUACAAGUCCAACAAAACAAUAUGCGAGUAAUCGGAAAAAAGGAAAUGUUUUCAAAUUUCCUAUUAAUAUACAACAUUUCUUACAGAAACCACUCACCCACCCCCCCUCCACUCUCUCGUCUCGCCGCCGCCAGAGGCUCCGGCCAGCGAAGCUCGGCUGGAUCCGGGGACGGGCACUUCUUCGGCUGGCGCGAGGUGGCAGGGCGAGCUGGCUCUCGUGCGGAUGGGCGGCGGCGGCGGUUGCCGCUGCAGGGCUAGGUAUGGUGUCUCGGCGGUCAGAUCUGGAUGUGGAGGGAGCGGCUAGCUGCUCCGGUGACCUCGGCCUGGUCCGCGAGGUCCAGCUCGCUCGAAUCUGAGGUGGCUCGCUAGCCGGCUCUGGCCCGUAGCUGCGGCUGGGAGGAUGGGGGGCGGGAAGGAGGCGGUCGUUGUGUGGCUCGUGGAGGUGGUUGGGGUGCUGGUCGGCGGGGAUGGGUUUCCUGUUCAGCCAACGUUGGCGUGGAACUCAGAUCUGGCUUUCUUUGAGGGCUGGAGGUGGAAGUGUUCCCGUGGCUGGAGGUGGCGGUGGUAGGGUGUGGCCGGCGGUGAGGGCUUGGGUGCGGGCAGCAGUUCACACCGACCUGACUCCGGCUGUGCAGGUGCUCGAGGUGAGUGUCUAUAUCAUCGGAGCCUUGUGCCCGUCCUAGCGGGGACGCUCGCCAUGGACUGACAGAAGGGUGGGGAGGUCUUGAGCUGCUGGACUCGGCAACCUUCUUCGACGGUGAUGUCUGUGAUGGGAUGCUUCAGGCGAAAGCCUUGUGUCGACCUUGUCGGCAACGAUGAUGGCGCCGCCUUCGGGCGUCGUUUCCCUUCAUUAAGGCAUCAUCGAGAAGCUACUGUUGCCUGCUCAUUCGUGUGUCUCAGGCGAAAGCCUCAGAUCCAUAUCUGGAUCGGACGACGGCGACAUCUUGAUGUCGUUUCUCCCCCUUGGGGGCGUUGUUUUGGGGCCACGAACCGUGUUGGUCGCUUGAUGUCUGGGUUGAAGUGCUUGUUGGGUUGCUGGAGUGCAGGGUGGUGGCGGUGGAAGUGAUCUGUGGCGGCGACAAUUCCUUGGUCAUUCUGGUGCUGAGGGUUGACCUAUCUCCUGGGCCUCGUGGCGACGGUGAGGUCUAGGAGUUUGGUGCCCUUCGACGACGCCUGAGGUUGGGUUGCCUCGCAUAGUGUUCUAGUUCUCUCGGCUCAGAGGAGGUGCAGGGCCGUCUCGGCAGAUCCUUGCCCUUCGGCACGGUCUGCGAUUCUCUCUAUCACGUUGUGGCUAGGCAGUGGGAAUCCCUUCGAUGGCAGCUGCGAUGCUCCUAGUUCUUCAAGGUGCAGAGUGAUCGCAGGGCAGCAGACAGUUCUUCCUCUACGUCUUCUCGGUGUUCAACCUCCUUUCGACUGAUCCAACAAUACUAGUCCCUGCUCUUCUCGGUCUGCCUAGUGGUCAUGGAUGCUAAGCUCUUGGUGUUGGCUGCUUGUCGUAGUUCGUUUCUGGUUCUCUUGUUCCUUCCGCGCGUGUGUGUGUGUGUUGGGUGCUGAUUCUCCUAUGAUGUUCCUUGUUCUUUCUUGUGUGUGUUGGGUGCUACUUGCUGUAGCUGUUGUGUUGUAUCUCCGUCUUUUUAUGAUAAUGAAAAUGGUUCAGGCCGGCGUAAGCCCGCCGUAGCACCGUAAAAAAAACAUUGCCACAAAUGGGCCCACGAAAUAGGCAAACAACAUGCACAAGAUAGAAAAGCAAGCUAAAUGUAUACUCCCUCCGUUUCUAAAUAUAAGUCUUUGUAGAGAUUUCACUAUGGACUAGAUACGGAGCAAAAUGAGUGAAUCUAUACACUAAAGUGCAUCUAUAUUCAUCCAUAUGUGGUUCAUAGUGGAAUUUCUCCAAAGACUUACAUUUAGGAACGGAGGGAGUAGAUGAGAUUGACAAAGAGAGAAUAUUUUGGCAAAAUUGUCGUGAGCAACAAAGCACUCAUGUAGGGAGAAUAGCUAAAAUUAUACUGGUUGUCCUACCCAAGCCAUCCACAUGGACGGUCAACACAAGUCAAAGAGGUUAACAUAAGUCCAAGCAAGCUACCAAGGGUCCAAGCAAGCUAUCUCGCUCAAAUAAGUCAAAACAAGUCUUCAUGGUCAACGAGUCAAAGGAAAUGAGAAAAUAAAAGACCAAGUCGAAGAUGAAGCCAAGGAAGCAAAGAAGCUCAAGCCUAUGAAGAGAAACCUUCAUAAAGUCAAAGGAAUUCUACCUCCCAUGGGUCGCAAUCUUUCUGCAGCCUAAUGGGAGCACGAUUCAUGGACUAAAGAUAGUUUUACCCUCUCACCUCCUCAUCUUAAGGGCAGCCUUGUUCAUUUGUCAAUCACAUCUAGGUUAUAAAUACCCCUAAUGAGCUCGUAACACAUUCACUCCCACUUGAAUAAACUCGAGAGGAGAGUCAUUCCCUCUCCCUCUCCUCAGAACCAAGGUUCGAAAGGGGGUUAGGUUUCGGAGUCCAAGGGAUGUUGUAAGGCUUGGACCCUCAGGAGUCGUGGGGCUGCAGCAACGGCAACGUUCUGAACGAUAGUGUGUCAAGCCCUUUUCCUUGAUGACUGCUCAUAUGACAUAGGUCAUGUUCCCACAAGGCGACUGCAGCUAUUCAAAAAACAUUGUUGUGUUACUUUGUCGAUGUACAAUUACCUUCGUUAUAAGGCCGUACAAUGACCUUCAUUAUAAGACCGUCAUACACUGCUACUUACAUUUCACAAACCCGCUACAAAGGAUACCCCUAGUCAAAAGCUGUUUUCAUAACAACAUGAUGUAAGUAACACGAGCAAAGCCAUACCAUAUGUACAAAGUUAGAAAUAUAUUGCGAAGUGCCACAGCCAGCUUCUGGCACAAUGUAGAGGACAACCUUUACUUUGUCAGACUUGCUCUAUAGCUCCACAUACAAUCGGAAAGUAUGUACAAUUCAAUGCUGUUAAUCACAUCUCAAUGUAGUGUGCACCAACAUCAAAACUACAAGUUGGCAAUCCAUUUUAGUUUAGCGCAGUUCCUUAAAAGAAAGCCCAUAUAUUUCAGCUCACAAGCAGUUUGUCUCCCAGCUCUUUGCGGUAGAAGUGAAUGAGGCCAGCGCUGUCGAUUGUCUGCAACUUAUCCUUCAGUAUCUUCGUGUAGUGGUCAUCCCUGUCCUCCAAGCUUCUCAUCAAUUCAACCUGAUAAGCCAGAAAUACUUCGAAUAUAUCAGAAGCUGUGUGCCCAGAAGAGCGACUUUGAGAAUACAACUGUGUUAGGAUAACUUGUCACGGAUGUAUAACUUGCACCCACCUGUCUCUGGAACGACUCGAAUUCAUCGAAGCUCAGGGAACCAUCGCUGUUUGCAUCAAGGAGAUGCAUGAGCGCCAUCGCAUCCUCGCCCUCGGCACCAAGAUCUUCCAUCACCUCCGUGAGCUCCUCGAUGCUGAUCCUCCCAUCACCAUUUUUGUCUAUAAGGCAGAAAGCCUGGUUCUUGCAUUCACCUCCUCGAUGAUCACUGGCUGGGAGGUCUCGAAGGCGAUGAGCUGCCAGUUCUGCCGCAGCCAACAUAAUAGCCUUGAGUCUUUUAGCCUGGAGAAUAUUCAAGGAAUGCUGAUUCUUAGUCAUGCCCCAAAAAUAAUCUUUCAGUUCAGUCUCAGAAAAGGUAUAAGAAUGCUAAUUUCAAGAUAAAACGAUAUGUCAUGAUGAAAUCAGCAGACAAGUGUAUCAGUUAGGAACAUAAACCAAACCAGGUCACUACCAUCUCAGCUGUGAGCUCUGAACUAACUGUUAUAACCCAGUGAUAAUUUCAGUAAGAAGCCUCAUAUGCUGGAUGAAAUUUAGGUGUAUCUUGUAGCAAGCAGCAUUUUACAUAACUUAUGUCUGUACAUGUUUUGACCCUUGGUUCGAUAAAACAACUUACCUACUAUGUUUUGAAAGAUACCCGAGUGCAUUGAUAAAUCCAGACGAUUCAGUGUACUUCAAAGGAGGAAAGAGAGUUGGAAUUAAGUAGAUGGCUCACCUCUCCAGGAUCCGUAAGACCACCCUUGUAGAGAGAGUGAGACGCUUCUCCACCAAUAGCAAUUCUGUGCAUCUCCUUGGUGCGUAUUUGUAUCUCCAUUAGUGGCCUCGUCUUCCCAGGUUCACUUACAUCGAUUGCCACAUGCAGGCUCUGAUAGCCAUUUCUUUUUGGCUGUGUCACAUAGUCCUUUGUCCUACCUGGCACUUCCUUCAAUAGAGCUCGAAUGAUUUCGUGUGUCCUGUGACAGGCCCUGGGGCCCCAAUCAGAUGAGCCACCAUCGCAUCGAGGGUCCAAGAUUAUCCGUAAACCAAGUAUGUCAUUUACUUCUUCUGGUUUCCGGCCAUCUUUUACUAGCUUCUUCAUAGUACUGAAACGGCUUUUGUACCGCCCUUCAAUUGAGAUGUCCUGCACAAUCUCGUUUAGCUCAUCAUCGGACUUCAGUGCCUGAAGCAACUGCGCCUUGUAGGCAUUUAUCAAGAGCUUGCACUCGGCUUCUCGGUUCCUCAACCAUUGAUCGACAUGGUCAUAUGAAUGAGGAAACAAGUACCUAAAAGAAAGAUCUUCCAACUCUAGCGACAGAUUACCAGCCCCGACAGCAUGAGCAAGUGGAGCAUAUAUCUUCAUUACUUCAAGAGAUUUUACUCGCUGAAGAUGCUUGGGGAGGUACUGAAGGUGUCUCAUCGUAUCAAGCUUCAGAGAAAGCUCCAAGAUUACUGCCCGGAUGUCAUAGUACGAAAGGAAAAACUUUCUCAAUGAGCUCGCACUUUCAUCAUCCAAUACGUCGACUUUCGAAGGAGCAACCUUAAGCCUUAAGCUCUCGUGCAGUAAAUCAGCUAUGCCAGUCCCAAUUUGAGCUUCUACAUCGCUCAUGCUUAUAGUCCCUGCAUCAAGCGCUUUCCUCAAUAUGCCGGCUGAAAUAACUUCCGCGUCCAUCUGCCGUCAUGAAUACAACAAGAAUUCAAAAUCCCUGUUAAACAUGAGAGCUUAAGAGUGGAUAAAUAAGCCCAAUGAUGCUUAACUGCGUUAUCAUACAAAGCAGUGCAAAUAUCUUAUGAAUCACCAUAACCUUACAGGGAAAUGGAGCAAAUAGAAAUUGGUCAAAGAGCCUAAUCGUAAACAUGGGUUAACUUGUGGUGGUUUUUGACAAUUUACUCGUCCAAGAAAGGCUCUGCCCAUCAAUACUGUCAGAUGAUAUUGCCUUCAACUUAUGGUAUAAAUGGGAAUUCAAUGGAAAGUAUGAACCAAACAGUAACGAUCAGUGACAUGAAACUAAAUAAUCAUAUAAGCCUGAGUUUAAUAGUUUGUGUAACUUUAGUGUGACUGAAACAAGGAAUGCCGGUGCCAUGGCAAGAAAACAGAUUUUGCUUUCUAAGUUCUAAUUGUUGUACACAAUAUUAUUCAGUGACUUCUUUCGAUGCAUUCAACAACAGAACACCAAAUGUGUACUGGGAAAUAUAUUUCAGAAAGAGUUCACUUAAUCUGGGUGUCCCUACUCCCUAGCAUUAAAAUGGAUAUCAUUGAAACGGGAAUGAACUUAUGCAUUUAACAGAAUUCGGCAUAUUGAGCUAGCUAUCGUUACUGAAUUAAUGGAAUUCUUGUUUCAAUCCUUCUCAAAUAAAUAAAUAAUUUUGUUUCAAUCUGUAAACCCGAACAUAAAUAAUAAAUAACAUGAACUUGAUCCAGGAACCCACAGUUAACAGGCCAACAAUUAGUAAAUUCUACUUGUUCAAUCAUGCGGACACGAAAGCUCACCCCCAGUCUCCAAAAUCGAACGAUAUAAUCCUAUUUACGCAAACGGAACAGGGGAGGAGGCUCUGGCUCAGCACCUGGAGGUCGGCUAAGGUCGCGGCCACCGCGAGGGCUCGCGUGAGGGCCUGGCCGCCGUCGCCGUCGCGGAGGGCGGGGAGGGCCAGUUUGAGCGCGCGGAAGAGCAGGCGCGACGAGGAGGUGGUGGCCAGGCCCUCUCCCAUCCUACCCGUGAGCUCGUUGAACACGCCCACAAGCUCCGCCACCAGCCUCCCUCCUCCCUCCGGCGGCGGCGUCGCCGGGGCCGAUAGCGACGAGGAGGAGGAGGUGGACGGGGCGGAUGGGGAAGAAAAAGCAACUGAGGCAGGGAGACGCAGUCGGUGCAGGCGACGCGGGUUGGGGCAUGGGCGCAGGCCUAGGUGGUGGCGGUGCUGGUGGCGGCCGGCGGGAACGGCCGCGGCGGUGGUGGCUGCCGUCGCCAUGGGUGGGGCCCGCUCCGGGGAUGGAUUGCAGGCGACGUGGCACUGUGGCAGCCGCUGUGCGGAUAUGUGAUGUGGUGAUUGUGAUGAAGUGGCGACUGGCUCGCGCCUUGCCACGUAGGAUUUGCCAUCUCCGCGCGGGAAGAGACGGGGUUUCGAUAGGAAAACUGAAUUUCUCCGGAAGUCCUUCGUUCAAUACGCAUAAACAUGGGCAAAUGUGCCAGUUUUUUAGCGUUUGUGAGCGAACGUCUACAUUUGUCAUGCGAAAUUAGAUAAAAUUAUAAUGUUGUUGUGUAAGAUUUGCCAUGUCUAAAAUGAAAAUGGCCAUGUAGUGCUGCAUGUCCUCUCGCUAGUUGAGUUAAAAAUUGUGGAACACCUCACGAAUCGAGGGAAAGCAUGUAUGGGAGGCCAGCAAUGUUCAUCCUAUCAUUAAUCUUGCGACACGAUUCAAUCGUCUUCCAGCAUCCAACCUAAAACCGUCGGCGACACCAUAGUGACGGGAUGAAGCUCGCGCUCUUCACACCGUAACCGUAUCUGGUAUGUGCAACAACGUUACUUGCCUCUUCUUUUCAGACAGUUCCUUAUAUAUGUUGCGAACCAUCAUCCUUCUUUCUACCAUUUGUCUCGCCUUUGAUUUCUUGUCAUUCGACAACCAGCUCUCGGACAAUAGCGAGACAAUCCUCUCACUUGCGUUCGUGAUGGACAUGUGUGUGCCGAGAUGAGUUGCUUCUGCUUUGCGGGCAACCCCAAUGACAACACCGGUUAUUUGGUCUUUCUUUUUCAGGCCAAAUAUGUGAUUGAUUGCCCGGUUAUUUGGGUUGCUGUCUGCUGCCCGUUUUUUCUCUAGAUAUAUUGUUCUUGGAGAUUAAAAUUGUGGCAAAAUCUGUAGGUUUGAGGAGAGAGGAAUCCUUGGAGCUCCAUGAGAACACUUUGAGUCAACAAGAGUUGCCGCAUGCUCAUUGCACGACUUCUUGGCAUGUAUGGCGGGAACCACCCCGUGAUUAAGGGCAUCUCCAAUGCCAUGCCGCAAAACGUCCGCAAACGUCUGGAUUGACGCGUGUGGACCAUUUUUGCCAUCCAACAUGGUCCCACAUACAUCAGUGGACCCGUCCGCAUGCCCGAAUUCUUGUAAGACGGAAUCAAAGUUGGGGGAGGUUUGCGGGAGUUCAGACCUCCACCAAGUAGGACUCUGACAAUCCCGACCCACCUAAAAUCCCACCCGUAGCCCGCGCAUUUGGCCACAUUCACACUACUUCCGUGCCAAACCCUGCGCAUUCCCAUCCUAUCUAGCCGAUUGACGCCUCCCUCCACCCUAUUCCUGCCCUUUUGUAGGAUCAGAAAUCGACUAGAAGGGUCGGAGAGGGGUGAAUAGAGAUUUACAAAUUCUUCAUUAAGAAGGAUUUCUUUCCAACAAGCAAAUGAUAAACUAUUCUAAGACGGGAACUUAAUGGAGAUAAGAUUGAGAAAAUAAAUGACUUAGAGGGAAAGCUAAAACAGGCUACUAAGAGAUAUCUAUCACAACAGAAGUUAGAAGAAUAACUAAGUAGCACUAGGGGAAAAACAUGCGGUACAUGCAUACUAAGUAUCGUGAGAGAGAAUACUAACAGAAACAUUGUGAACUAACAUAGAGGGAAAUGCUAUUUAGUUUCAAAGAAAUGAUCAAAGUGAGCAAUCAUAGAGAGGAAUAACUCAACAGAUAGAAAUACUGAAAGUAAAUCAAGUAGAGAGAAAAUCAGUGGUACUCGAUGGCGACAAGUGAUUUGUUCUACCAGUUCACACUUCUGCCAAAGUGGCACGUCUGGUUGGAGGGACUUGUGAUUGAACACAUGAGAAAAUCUCUUUCAGCCUAUUCUCCUCAACAUGAAGAACCUCGAACUUUAGUUGAUUUAUUACUCUCGACACAUUCUUCAAGGUAAACUCCAAACCUUCACAGACUUUAUCCUUGGCAAACCACAAUUACUCUUGGUUGCUCGGACCGACGCCUAAUCGUCUAGUGAGUGUGCAACUCACAACAAUAAUAGGAACAAGCUUCGUAUAGACCUAAUUCUCCGCGAUGCUCAAUCAUGUAACUAAAUUUGGGCCCUGGGGUUUUCUCUUGGUGAAAUCUGACUAUAGAGGGGUUUCUCAGACAAACUCUUGUCAGAUCAGAUGAAGCAGCCAAACGCUGAAGGUUGGGGGUGGGAUGACUAUUUAUAGCCAGAGUAAUUCCAAGGUACGAAAUUACCAAUUGGGGCCCGUGUCAUGCAACGGUCAUCUAACAUGUGUCCAACAGUCGGAUUUCAAAUUCACGCGAUAACUUUACUUAAGGAAUAAGUUAAGCUGACUCUACUGCAUGUGAUUUUCACUCAACGUCCAGAAGAACUUCGUCUAUGACUUAGAGGGAAAACACAACGCCAUGUAGGAUUUUGACGACUUUGCCAUGUAGGAUUAGUCGAGACCCCAGAUAUUAUUCGCUAUUCUUGUCAUGAAAACAAAAUUAACUUCGAUCAAUGGAGAACAUAUGUAGAGUGCCAAAGUAUUUGGUACAAAUAAUUCUUGAUCACAUUUGUUCUGAUGUUUUGGCCACUUUUGCCUCCUCUUCUCCUUCACAUCCUCAUUCAUAUGCAACUUUCCAACCCGUCUUCGGUGACUAUCAUCGCGAAAUUCACGUUCAACCUCUAGUCCACAUCGAACACUUUAUAUCGGUGUUGUCACACCCGACAUCUCCCAUGGCUACCAUUGCCAUAUAUGAAAGCAUUAACCUCUCUCACGGGUAUCACCUAGACAUUAGUCAUUGGGCCUCAUCAUCACUACCUUUGAUGCCAACAAUGAUCUGUCUGCUUCAACCUAAUUGUUUCCUUGUUGCCUCAUGGCGGUCUUGUUUCUAAAACCAAGGUUAAAACAGAACCUCCGACCUAAACAUGAGCCAUGAAACCCUUUCCUCUUUGAUGAGGAGGCAUUGACCCCACCUCUUAGUCUGACCACAUGAUCAAAACAUGUCUUGGUUAAUGAGUAUUAAGAGAAACGACAAGACACCGGCGUUGUCAAAAUCAUUCUACCAUAGGAUUGUGUGACUUUGCAAUCCAAACUGAUUAGAAUAUGGAGCGCGCUAUGCGUCUGCCGGGUGAUGAUUGGAUUGUAUCGUCUGCUACUAUAGUCGUUGGAUGGCAUGCACGACAACUGCCUGAUCUGAUGCAAUAGCGCCUCAACCGUUUGCAACAUGGCUUAUAUUGCGCUCCGGGCCAUGUUGCGCUCCAUCCAAAUGUUUUCUACCAUUGCAAUUAUCUGACCCAGUUUGCAACAUGAGCCAUGUUGCGCUCCCAGGUUGUAACAUGACCCAUGUUGUGCUUGGGGAAAACAUUUGUGGUUGACCACCAUCCUGUUUUCCGCCCCCUUCGCAACCUAAGCGAUGUUAUGCUCGCCGGUUGUAGCAUGACCCAUGUUGUGUAGCCCCUUUGCAAUUCAGAUGAUAUUGCGAAUCCCCUUUGCAACAUGCCCUGUUUGCAAAAUGAGUUAUCUGACCCCGUUUGCAACAUGAGUGAUAUUAUCUUCGCCGGUUGCAACAUAACCUAUGUUCUGAAGCCCCUUUGCAACAUGGACAACAUUCUGAAGCUUGGGAAAAGGAGGGAGAAGGAGGGACAGUUUGGGCAGCAAGCUUGGGAACAUAAAGGGCACUAGUAGUCGAUGGUGCAUUGCCGAGGCGAUGGCUUGCAGCAGCGGACGGUGAUCUGCAUCCCUGUCCUUGCAGCCCUUGCAGCGCCAACCUAGUAGAACCGCUGUGAAUCUUGGCCCUCGUAGCCCCCUGGCAGUCGCCUUGUGCACCAGCAUCAUUCACCCCCGCACCUCCCCAUCUCGUGCCUCCCGACGCCUUUGCAGCACCGGACCCAAUCCUUGCAGCAGUGGGGUGGUUGGGGGCUACCUAUGCCCCUAUGGAGGAAAGGGAUACAAGUAGAAUGAUCUUUCUAAUUAACCAGACUUACAAAGAUAUAAAUUACCAGAAAACUUACAAGGGUUCCUUUCUUCCGGUUGUGUCAAGGAACACCAUUUGCUCCAUUUCCCCAAAAAGAAUGCCGUUUGCUCCACGAUACUAUUUAUAUACAGGUCAACCUAUCGAGUAAGACUUAGCCAAAUCUCAGUCGGUGAUGUCAGCAUAGUUGUGGUGCAACUCGCGACAUGCUGCAAACGACAACGCCAAACGCUGCGAGACAUAUGAUGCAAGCAACGACGACGGACGCUGCAACCGGUGGGACUUCAUGCCGGGACGACAUGAUGCAACUAGCACCGACGGACUCUGUGACUGAUGGGACGACGUGCUAAGCGGUGACGUGCUGCGAUAGCUGUUGGACGGUGCUCAGUUUAGCACUAAUCUCCGCACUAAGAUCCAACAGCGAAGCAGUCGACCGAGACUUAGUCGAUUGAGGAGCAAGUUGCCAUGUUCUUGAUCACAACCUUCGAAAUAGGCUAGUCGGUUAUACAUGGUGCUGACUAAAUAGAUUUAUCGCUCAGCAUACAUUGCUGACUAAGUAGAUUAUCGCUCAACCAUGUAUACACACUACUACUGAAGAACUUCUUCAGAUAAGUAUAAUCUGUUGAUACUUAUUCCGUCUUGCCACGCCCAACACAUUAGUCUGUCAUAUUCAUGAUGCCACUAUAUCAACAAGACAUGACCAGGAAGCUGAGAAAAAUAGCUAUUUCUGAAUCUUUACUUGAGAUCCGCACAUUAAGUACGUUCGACACGACCAAACAAGCAAAUAAACAUAAAAGACGCAGAGACAGAAUCGCAGUGCAAAGCCAACUACAGGCACAUUCGUAAACGCACAUACGAGCAUAAGCAUUUGGCAAAUGUCAAUAUAGGGCGGACGUGCAAUCUAGCUACUCCAUCUUGGAGGCACCAAUAACGGCGACCUUCGCUUCAAUGCAGCAUUUCGUUUUCACGAGAUAACCAUUUGAACAGUCCUUGAAAUCUUCCAGCAAUAUGAACUUGUCCCAUCCCCAACUAGUAGCAUUCUUUGAGAACUCGCACCGGCCUAUCAUUUUCCAAAACAAAAUACGUAGAUAAAUAAAGGUGUCAAUCAGUAAAUGUGAUGAUGAUAAUUUCGCAUCUGAACUCCGGUCCAGAGUGCAAAAAUUUCUGCUAAAGAGCGAACCUUUUUGUCCAUUGUCCUUGCCACUUCCCUGGCUUUUGAUGCGUAUGUCCAAUUCUACCAGGUUCGCGGAGUUCUCAUGGAGUAUAUCCGUCACCUUCAUGGUCAGGAACACGGAGAUAAAGUUUCCAUUCUUAUCGAAUCCAGAUGGAUGGAUGGAGAUGAACCUGAAAAUUAGGGAGCAUCGCAUAGUUUAGUACAUCAUUGAUAAGAAGAGGUGGAACUCCAAGGGUCUUUAUUUUUACUUAUAAAAAGUGAAAUAUGACAAGUCUUUAUGUUCAAAUAUGAAUUUAGUAAAUUCUGUAUAAAUCCAGUAAUUAAGUGGUAACACUAUGAGUCAUGCUAAGCACUGCAAAUUGAAGAUGGUAAGUAAGUAUCACCAUUUGUGUCCAUGGAGCUCAAAAUCUGGAGAGUGGCUCGGGCUUUUCAGCGCAAAGAAGUCGUCGAUGUCCCAGGUGUAGACUUCUGGAAUACUGGAGAUUUUGUUUACCUUCUUCUGAACAAACAGCUUCUCUGUCGCAUCAUUAGUUUGAGCAGCAGUAACUUUGAUAAACUCGACACCGAAAGCACAGCUGUUUUCGACGAGGAAUCCAGAGGACUUUUCCUUCAGUGUGGCGAGGGGGAUCAUGCAUGAUGUCCCAGAGCUUGUGCUUGUAGUCUGAAAAUUGUGGCACACUGCAAACAAAAUAUUCAGUUGUAAUGUCUGUCGCGAAGCAGGUUAUAAGUUACACCAUCAAUCUAGUAUCCGGCUAGCUAGGAAGGUCAAAGAACCUGUUUUUUUUCAGAAAUAAUGGGUACCUUGAGGUUGUUCAUGGUGCUUUCCAUAUAACUGGUCAUAUAUAAAGAACUUGUAAGUUGCCUCCACGACCGUGUCGGAUCUCACGGAUGCUGGCGACAGCUGAAGCCGAAGAGAAACAUAUUCAUUUUGGUCGCCACUCUUGGUGUCCCUUGGGUUCAGUCUCAAGUACCUGCGAAUCAAGUCAAGUGAAAGGUCACCUUAGAAAAGAAAAAUAGUCGAGAUAAAUGAAUAGAAGAAACAAGUGAGAACGAAUUUUGUUCAUGACAUGCUAUGGGGAACAAUAGUAGCAUGUUAAUUGUACCAUCUGAGCCCACUGAUUUCAAACACCCUGGAGAUUGUCCAUCCUUUAUCUAAGUCAAGGAGCGAGGAGAAACCAUCGAUUGUCCACUUGAAGGUUGUCUGCUCCACAGGAGAAGGUGGUGCCUCGACGGCUUUCUGGACCUGUUCCUUCUUUGAAUGGCCUGCGACAGCAGCAAAUUCUUACACAACCAGUACAAUAUCAAAAGAUUGUUAUUUUGGCCAAACAUGAGGUGAAAGGAAAGGCAGAGCAUCUGCUUUUGCAUGGCAUAAUACAUUUAUGUAAGACAAUUCAAUUUUUAUCUGAAUUUUGCUAAUAAAAGGAACAUUCUGAAUCUUGUUUAUAAAAUCAACGAUCUAGACUAAUUCAAGUAAGAAGAAGAAAAGAUGCCCAAAAGAAAGAGUUUACAGCCACUAGAAACAGCAAUGCUUGCAUCAGUAUAGUAGCAUCAAUCAAAAUAACACAAUACAUUAUGCAUAGCAGGCAGGUCUAAUUAUUAAGGAGAAGCAAAGAGAAGCUGAAAACAAAUCCUUACUGCUGGCGCCAGUAACACACGAGUUCCCCAUAGCUCUUGCACUUGCUCUCCCCAGGAUUCCUGUGCAAUCGAAAUCAAUCACCAAAUCACCAUGCCAUAAAUCAACAACAUAUAAUUGAGACUUAAGAGCAUACAGAGCAGUGCACACUAAUUUGAAGGAAAAUAAACUUGAAAAUAUUCAUGUUUAUUUUGGCUGUGUGCAUCAUGAUGAUGGGUUCUCCCCUUUUUGAAAAAAAACAUGAUCAUAUUCCUAGUGGGUGCAGAUCUCAACCAAACAAUUACCGAGGAAAAAAGGAAACGACCAAGAGAUGCAAAAACUGAAACGAAAAACAGCAGCACUUCGACCACGAUAGGUGAAAACCUACAUCAAGAGACCCAAUAACUUGCGUCAGGAAACCAGAACGAUGGCAGUUGUGAACCGUUGUGCAGUGCAGAUCUCGACAAAAUAAUUACCGCGAAAUAAUGAAUGAAGAUCAAAGACCUCAAAAAACAAAGAAGACUGAAAACCACAAACCAUCCACAAGUCGUGAAAGAUGGCAAAGUACACAGCUAAUCACAGUAGCGCAUUUAUAUGUCGCAGAGACGAGAUGGCGGCGGCCGGCGGAGCAUACCUUGGAGACGUAGUGCGUUCCUUGCCCACGUUGGUGUGGUACUGUGGCGCCUUAAACCCUACUACUAAGCAGAGGGUUUUAUGGAGGCGCAGGGGUGAUGCGAUAUGGCAAGCUCGACUCUACCGGGUUCGGUUGGUUGCGCAAGGCUGAUCCAGUCCCUUUUUUUUUUACCAAAACAGAAAAAGGAAAAAGGCCCCAAAAGUGGAGACGUAAGGCCAUACAGGAAGGCAUAUCCUAUUUGGCGCCUCACGAGCCCGCUCCUACUGUUUUUGCAAACGCGCGCUCACUCGCGCACGUCUAGUUGGGCUCGACACAUAUUUCCUUUUCUUUUCUGUUGUUAUUAAAACCAAAAAACUGCAUUAAGAGUAUCUCCAACGCGCCGACCCAAACGGACACCUAUGUCCGCUUUCGUGUUUGAAUCGACGCAUGCGCCCAACGCUUGCCGACCCAUUUUAUAGGUCGCGCGAAAAAAAUAGAACACACAUAUUUAGAAAAUAAAAAAACAUUAAUUAAACAUUAAUGCCGGCCACAAAGGCCGGCUAGAGUCCACGCGUCCAUAUUUACAUUAACUAAAUUUACGAAGCGGCGCGCUGCCAUAGGCAUCCUCGUCGUCGUCGUCGGGGCCGGUAAGGCCGAUCAACAUCGGCGCCGGGCGAGCCCAAGGGAACGCCAUCUCCCAGGCUGUGGUGACGUCCUCCGCCGCCGGCUGGGGUGCCCCGCCCCGGGCACGGCGCUCCUCUUCCUCGGCCUCGCGGCGCUCCUCCUCGGCGCCGCGCUCCAGCUGCUCGAGGUACUCAUCCUUGCGGCGCUCCUCGGGCAGCCGGCGCUGGUGCCAUUGCUCGAGGUAGGCGCGCUCCUGCGUCUCCCUCGCCCUCAUCCAGUCCAGUGGUGCGUUGACCCACUCGCGCACCAUCCCGACCCAGGAGUAGCGCUCGAUGGGGGUCGGCUCCGGCUCGGCCUUCACCGGGGACGGCGAGGCCAGCGGCGGCACGCUAUAGUCACCGGCCGCGGACAACGCCAUGACCUCCGCCAUGCGCGCGUGGUAAUCCGCCUCCUCCCUGCGCCGCUCCUCCUCCUCGCUCUUCCGGAGGACAGACACCGAGAAGGCGCGCGAGACGCCCGCUUCGCGUUCGUGCCGAUGCAUUUCUGUCGCAAAUGGGUCCGUGUGGACGCGUUUUGCGAAUGAGUCAGCGCGUUGGGCCUUCACUUUUGUCCGCACCGAUCCAAACGGACUACGGCGGACAAAAUGGGUACGUGCGAUUGGAGUUGCUCUUACCAGCCCCACCAUCCUCACCAUAUGUGCUCACUUAUAUAUUCUUCAUUCUUUUCUUCUUACAUGUUUUCUUUUUUCUAUUUAUUUUUUAUUUUUUCUUAUUUUAUUCGGAAUGGGUGUGUUCAGUUUUUAUCCCUUUUCCUUUUUUUUGGUAAAUUGAAUGAUUUUUUUAAAAAUAUAUUUUUUUCAAAAUCUAUGAAACUUUUUUUUCAAAUUGAUAAACUUUUUUCAAAAUCGAUGAAUUUUUUUUAAAUUAAAGAAUUUUUUUCAAAUUUGAUGAACUUUUUUCAACUUUGAUGAACUUCUUAAAAUUCAAUUUUUUUUCAAAUUCGAUGAACUUUUUAUCAAAAUUCAUGAACUUUCCUAAAAUCCGAUGAACUUUUUUUUUUCCAAAUUCUUGAUUUUUUCUCAUAUUGACGAACUUUUUUCACUUUGUACGAACCUUUUCAAAUUUAUAAACUUUCUGGAAGUUCACUUUUAUUUUAUUAUGAAAUCUUUUUUAUUUUCUAAUUUAUAUCAUAAAAUAAUACGCGUAACAAGCUGGCUAUGUAUUACUCCUACAUGCUUAUGUUGUGUUAAAAGAAUGGUCUAAUAGAGUAUUUUCCAUAUAGUGGACAACAAAGGGCCUUCGGCCUAGUGGUUAUUGCCUAAAAGGUUUUAAGUUAGAAUUAUGUUUGUUUUUUAAAACGCUUCAGAAACACUAGCCUCUUCGCGGUCCCUGAGGGCCCGCUCGCGGCACAUAAGUGUGUCCGCCAGCCGGUCUAUGGCUUGAUGGGCGCCACAGAUGAAAUCUUCGCUGGUCAAUAUUGGGGAGCCGUCGUCGGCAUUCCCGGGCCAGUCCCCGCAUAGUCUCCGUCGAGGAGUCUCGCCUUGGAGGGGGAGCCCCUAUUCCCGAGGGAAGAAAGAGGGCGCUCCACGUGCGCAGCUUCCUCCACGUCGUGCACAACCUCUCCUCGGAGGUGACCACAUCAGGCUAUGUUCGGUUACGCCCUUCCCCGCGUGGUUUUGGGCCCAAACCACGGGGAUCCAGGCGGAUCGGCCCCACUAGGAAAUAAUCUUCGCGUUUUCGAUUUGACGCAUUCGGUUAAGCCUCGAGCGGAUCUUUCCCCCGUCAAAACCUCUCAAAACCGCGAGGAAAAAAUCAGCUCCAGCCCACCCGUGGAAAAAAUCCGCCUCUCUCUCUCGUAGUACGUAGGUCUCUCGUUGACGCGACCGAAGCGGGGGCGUGGGCUUAACCGAAUGGAAGAAAGAAGCCCCGAUCAUCUUUGUGGCGGGGAGUCAACCCCCACAGUGGUCAGGUGCUGACACCCAAUACCGGCAGGGAUUAGUUCCACUAGGGGAACUAAUCUAUUGUAACCGAACAAGGCCUCAAGGGACCCCGGCGAGGGGGUAUCAUUCGGAGGCUGGCCUCCCGUGGGGUCGUCCUACAUGUCUGAAGCACCAGCAGGGGCGUUCGAUCUGGCUCGUACCAAGAUGGUGUCUUCGGGCGAAGGCGUGCCGGGUACAUCCGCUCCAUGUGCUGAAACGGCCUCCGCGGCGAUCAAGGGAAUCGAGGCAGCGUCCGGCAGGACCUCCUGGUCGACGCCAGAACGAGGAGGAACAGGAGCAAGGACUGCUCGGUCUACGCCCGUUUCUCCAAUAAUGACGCUACGAGGUGGGAUGCUGGCGGCCGCGUGACUUUCCCCCGCGUCUGGCCGGGGGAUAACGGCCUCGCGGGUGGAUCGCUUCGCCUGGCAUGGUCUCAUGGCAGGAGACCUAAAACGUGAAACCAUAAGUCUAAAAAAUCACGGGAAUUAUCCCCCGUAUAAUAAGAAGAGGUAGGAGAGCGUUGCAAGCACUUACUCAUCAGAGGCAUGCCACGUUUUCCUUAACCUCCCUCCCAUGAAGAUAAUCAUCGAAGGACUAACUGCCCGGCGUCCCGUUCCCCUAUUCGGGGGAUGGGAAGGGGAUGAUCCGCCCACAAUGAGUCUUGGUCCGCGGGACCUCCCGUCCCCCUCAAGAAGCCCUGGAGGUGUCACUGUCUUCGGAUCGUCGUCCGGUUCACUAAAAAUGGGGAAAGAAGUGACGAUCAGGAAAUGGACGUACAGACCAAAGGAAGUAAAAGACAAGCAAAACUGACCCGUCAAGACCGAUAAUAUGAGUUUGACGAUGCCGUCUCUUGGGACCCUUGGGGAUAGGCCUAUCCUCUUCCCUGGGGCAUCGCCGCCUCGCGCCCGGGAGGAUUAUGUCAGGUUCUGACCGUGCGAAGGGAGAACAACCGCGUGUAUGAUGGAGCACCGCCCGAUCUCCGCCGCCUCUGCCGUCACCUGAAUCAGAGUCAGAUGCUUACCCCGACCAUGGAAACAGAUUCGGGUGUUCGGGGUCGAGUAGGUCCUCCGGGAUGAUGCCCCAUCGGUCACAUGCCGACCAAGAUCGAAUCGCGCUCGUUGUCGUCAUAAAGGGAGCAGACGGAUUCCAGAAGGGUGAUCAUGCCCUCGAGUUCAACAAGCUCCCUGAGGAUGGCAGCAAUUGUGUCGUGGUCCAUCCUGGAACAGUGAAGACAUUGAGGAUCUGAAGGACCGCUGAAUCGCCACAUCGGCUGGCCCCUCGCCUGCAAGGGGGCCAGGCGGUGGCGCAAAAAGUUGAGCGCCACCAUAUGGCAGUGAAGCCCGAGCUCUGACAAGCGCCGAAUGCGAUCCAACACUGGAAGCCAGGCUCUAUCGACCACCGGAGCCCUCCUCCAUCCUUUAUGCUCGAUUGCGCGGGCCAUGGCUUCUUGCAGAAGCACCCAGUAUCCCGGAGGCCGGUGAGCACCCACCUUUGACGCCAGUUCGCCGAGACAGAGUGCAGUCCAAGCUCUGGAUACCCAAGGUUUUUCACUCUGUCCGCUAGGAUGAAAGACACGCAUCCAAAGACCUGAUCCCCAGGGGACAUGUGCAUCGAGAAGAAAUGGCGGAAAAGCUGCAGCGAUGAAAUCAUCCCCACAAAUGCUUCGCACAAAUGGGCGAAUAAGGCUAGAGUCAAGACUGCAUUUGGGCAGGGAUGGAGCAAAUGAAUUUGGUAGUGCUCUAGAACGGCGCGAAGAAGGCAGAAAAUAGGGGGACCAACCCCGCAGCGAGGAAGAUGACGAAGAUGGGUGUGUCAAUGACAUCGGAUUCCGCCGGCCACCUUGAGUCGGGUCCCCCCCCCCACUCGUUGCUCUCCUCGCUGACGAGGUGGCGGACCUUAUCGAGCCCCUUGGCAUUCAUAAUCCUCAUACGUGGCAAAGCCUGCGGGGGUGGGUUCUGACGGUGUGGCCCCUCGCUUCGUCCUCUCUUUGCCGACGCGUUUUUUCUCCGCAGCGCCAUGAUACGGUGAGGAGGCGUUUGCUUUGGGAAGGAGAGAUGAGGCAUGGGCUCCGUCAUCUAUUGACUCUUCGAACUUAUGUUCAGCGGGGGCGGGGGCUGAAAUUGCUUGCCAAUCGAGAAACCAUUGUUUUUUGUCCGCUCAUCCCAGUUGGGGGAAUCAUGGAACAAGAAUCGAGAAGACGCCAGCACAUGAUGACAGUUUGGCUAACAUCUUCAUGAUGGCAUGUGAAACUAAGAUAUUGAGAAGGCGUAUUGCUGCAUUGAAGGCCGACGACACGUGUUGGACCCUCUCCGGUCCGCGGCCCCAUUGCUCCUCCUUCGUAUAUCACGGAGGUUGCGAUCGAAGAGUGGGUCAGGGGCUACUGUUGUACCCGUGGAUUAUGGGGUAUCCAGGAUCGGACGACCGAGACGAUCGACGGCACCAUGGAGAAGCAAGGAGUAAAUACGGUGAUGGAAGGAGUUCUUCGAGACAAUUUGGGGAUUUCUCCCUACCGGACGAGCCUCCCAGGAAGCCAUCCCGGGAACCUCACAUGAGAUGGGUGAAGGGGUUUUGCCUGGCGGUACAAAGGUGGACUGCACCUACGGACGAAGCAUGGAGCGGAAGCAAUGAGGUUUGACUUUAGGCGACCUACCGAUGACGUCCCGUCUUUGGGUGGUCAUCAACAGUGUUGCGGGACAACCCACUUGAGCACGCCAUAAGAUGGCUUUGUAGCAGGCUACGGGUGCUAGGGGGUACCUUCUGUGAUUCUCUCCCUUCACCUCAAACCGCCUUCCGCCCUCGCCCGCGUUGUAUAAAUAAGGGAGGAUUGGGACCUUGAAACCUUACGAUUACUGGACGUGUUCAGUCCCUGGCCAAACUCUCAAAGGGUUGUUGCUCCCAACUCAUAUGUAGGUUCUUAGAGGCCGACAGCGCACACUGCUAAAUUUAAUUUACCGGUGAUGUUUCCUGUGUUGAGACGCUCGUAAAGUUACAUGGACGACAAGGCUGUAGCGUGCUAAGUACUAGCAGCAUUUGAUAAAUCUAAACGCUGUCAAUACUCAGAUCUCAACGAUGUUUGAGUUGUAUGCAGUUGAUAGUUUGGAAAAAAAUUGUAGCCGCGUUCUAUUUUUCUGACACGUACCCAGUAGCGAAAUCCUACAAGGUUUUUUUCUAGUGAUAGGAGUAAUAUGGCUCCCCUAAGACUCAUAACAUGAAUAUGAAUUAAUCUGAAUAUAUUUCCUUGUGCACUUUUUUGUGAGUGCAUUGCACAUGAGAAAUUAGUAGUUGUAUUACAAUGGAGCAAAACUUGUUCAUUUAACUUAAGUGUUAUCAUUCCCGUAACAUUUUCCAUUAACUAAAACCCAAAUACAUGCAAACAUAUCCUUUAAACUAAGUUCUAAAGGCCCUCAGUUAAAUUGUUUCUGUUGGGGAACAUAGCAUGCAUUUUCAAAAAAAUUCCUAUGAUCACGCAAGAUCUAUCUAGGAGAUUUAUAGCAACCAGAGGGGGAGAGUGUGUCCACGUACCCUCAUAGACCAAAAGCGGAAGCGUUAGUUUAACGCGGUUGAUGUAGUCGAACGUCUUCGCGAUCCAACCGAUCAAGUACCGAACGUACGGCACCUCCGAGUUCAGCACAUGUUCAGCUCGAUGACGUCCCUCGAACUCUUGAUAAAGUGUCGAGGGAGAGUUUCGUCAGCACGACGGCGUGGUGACGGUGAUGUUGAUGUGAUCCGCGCAGGGCUUCACCUAAGCACUACGACAAUAUGACCAGAGGAGUAAACGGUGAAGGGGGGCACCGCACACGGCUAAGAAACAAUUGAUGUUCUUUGGGGUGCCCCCUGCCCCCGUAUAUAAAGGAGGAGAGGGGAGGAGGCAGGCCCUAGGGGGCGCGCCAAGUGGGGGGAAACCCACUAGGACUCCUAAUCCUAGUCGGCCCCCCUUCCUUCUUUCGGAGGGGGAAAGGGGGAAGGAGAGGGAGAGGGAGAAGGAAAGGGGGGACACGCCCCUCCCCUUGUCCAAUUCGGACUGCCCAUGGGGGGCGCAUGCCACCCCUUGUGGGCUGCCCUCUCUCUCCCCUUAUGGCCCAUGUGGCCCAUUACUUUCCCCGGGGGGUUCCGGUAACCCCUCGGUACUCCGAUAAAUAUCCGAAACACUCCGAAACCAUUCCGGUGUCCGAAUACUAUCGUCCAAUAUAUCAAUCUUUACCUCUCAACCAUUUCAAGAAUCCUCGUCAUCUCCGUGAUCUCAUCCGGGACUCUGAACAAUCUUCGGUCACCAAAACACAUAACUCAUAAUACAAAUCGUCAUCGAACGUUAAGCGUGUGGACCCUACGGGUUCGAGAACUAUGUAGACAUGACCGAGACACAUCUCCGAUUAAUAACCAACAGCGGAACCUGGAUGCUCAUAUUGGUUCCUACAUAUUCUACGAAGAUCUUUAUCGGUCAAACCGCAAUGACAACAUACGUCAUUCCCUUUGUCAUCGGUAUGUUACUUGCCCGAGAUUCGAUCGUCGAUGUCCUCAUACCUAGUUCAAUCUUGUUACCGACAAGUAUCUUUACUCGUUCCUUAAUGCAUCAUCCCGCAACUAACUCAUUAGUCACCUUGCUUGCAAGGCUUAUCAUGAUGUGCAUUAACGAGAGGGCCCAGAGAUACCUCUCCGUUACUCGGAGUGACAAAUCCUAAUCUCGAUCUAUGCCAACCCAACAGACACCUUCGGAGACACCUGUAGAGCAUCUUUAUAAUCACCCAGUUACAUUGUGAAGUUUGAUAGCACACAAGGUGUUCCUCUGGUAUUUAGGAGUUGCAUAAUCUCAUAGUCAAAGGAAUAUGUAUAAGUCAUGAAGAAAGCAAUAGCAAUAAAACUUAACGAUCAUUAUGCUAAGCUAACGGAUGGGUCUUGUCCAUCACAUCAUUCUCCUAAUGAUGUGACCUCAUUCAUCAAAUGACAACACAUGUCUAUGGUCAGGAAACUUAACCAUCUUUGAUUAACGAGCUAGUCAAGUAGAGGCAUACUAGGGACACUUUGUUUUGUCUAUGUAUUCACACAUGCAACAAGUUUCCGGUCAAUACAAUUCUAGCAUGAAUACUAAACAUUUAUCAUGAUAUAAGGAAAUAUAAAUAACAACUUUAUUAUUGACUCUAGGGCAUAUUUCCUUCAGUUUCUUAAUAUUUAGAUUUGCCCUUUCUUAAGUAAUUCCUAGCUAGAUACACAUUUACUUUCUUAAUCACUUUAUUUAUUAUUGACUUUUAAAUGCUUCUCAUUAUUUUGUCAUUUAUAUCUAGAUUACCCCUUUACUAAAUUGAUUCCAUGUAUAUGUUGUGUAUUCUUUGUACUAGAUUUGCUUUCAAAUGAUCCUCAUUUAUUUGUCUACUAAAGCGAAUAUUUGCCUUCAAUAUUUUCCAUUGAAUGAACUCAUUUAUUCGCUACAUUCAUCGUAUAAGAUUAGCUUUUAAAUGUGGCACAUUUAUUUUUCUCAUGAUAUUUGCACCCUCCUUAGCUACUCCUACAUACACAUUGGGAUGCUUUACACUAUUUAAAGAGGGGCAAAAGGGCCUCAGUGGAAAGCAAACAAGCACAAAAAAUUGUUUCCUUCUUGACAUCUAAAUGGAGAAUUGUCUUCAACAUAUUGUGUUGUAUGUGCUACUUCUCGCUAAUGUAAUUACAGGAAAAUCUUCCCCUACAGAGGUAUGUGUUAUACUUUACUCCCAUUAUUUAGGUCGAGACAUAUUCAAUAUUGCAAUAAUCACGAUUUACAUUCUUCAUAAGUUGACUUUUCUUCCUUUUUAUAAUUUGAAGCAAGGAAACUCAUCAAUGCCAUGGCCCUCUGUUCUUCGUCCAAUGAUUUUCCAUACUAGUGAAAAUCUUGCCUCGGAUUAAAAUUCAGUAAUCUCUUAUGUGAGUUCCAUGUGUCUAUUGUAUUUAUUUACUUCAAUUAUUAAUUUCACAAACAUAACUUAAUAUGCAUCCCUGACCCUUAGACUAUGUUUGAUAGAUCACGAGUCAUGUGUGGACUCCUCGAGGUGGUGCUGAGAACUAUUAUGGCAUUGAGGCUACAAUUGAUGUAUAUGGAUUUAAUUUACAACCCGGCCAAUUAAGUGCAGCUGGAAUUUGGAUUCUGAACAAAGGAGAUGGAAAACCAUCUUCAGCUAGUGGAUUUCAAGUUGGAUGGAGUGUAAGUUACAUCUAGGCUGGAGAGCCACAAGUUGAUUGGACUGAUUUAAUUUAUUAAUCAUUAAACAACUAAGGAAAUAAAAGGAACUAUUGUAAUAUGCUCUUUGUACUCCAUAGAACCCAAUCAAUAAUUUAUUGUAGAACAUUUUAGUUAGGACUAUUUUGUUUCUCAAGCAAUGAUGUUAUAUGUGUAUGUAAACUUUCUCGCCAAAAUAAAGGACACAAACAAAUCUAAUGUGCAAAUUUUUCUAAAUAAUAUAAAAUAUUGUGAAAAAUCAUCACAAAAAGAGCAGUUGCGUAUUGAAAAAAUAAUUAUACUAUGCGAAUUCAAAUAGACAUGGCAUGAUUUAAAGAAGUUUGUGCAUUGUAAAUAUAUCACUACAUAAGACUACCAUAUUUUGCGCAUCAAUGUGAACACUAGUGAAUUUUAUGCAGAUUUUCCGAGGUUCUACAAAGAUUCACAUACCCAUUUCUACACAUCUUGGACUGUAAGUUUCAUUCAGUGAACUCUUUAAUGUAUAGUAAUAAUAGUUUGUGCUGAAGAUAUACAUUUAGGAGUGAUUACCUCAAAGUGUUCAUUGCACUACUAUACAUUCACGAACUAUAUGUGUCAUUGGUAUGGAAAUAGCAGAAGAAUGGGCUAUCUUGUCAUUAGUUUUUGUGAUGUAAAGUUAGCAAGGUGUGUAGUAGGGCCUUAUUUGGAGGCCAUCCUACACCAAUAAAAGGUUCACACAUUGAUGCCUUUUGAAUAGGUUUGGUGCAUCCUUGGAUCCGAACUUAAUAUCGUGUUGCGAAUGCAAUAAAUGGAAGUGUCUAGAAUAGCCAAUGGGAUAAAAUAUAAGGCCUCCUUGAUCCUCCCUUAGAUGAGAGAAAUGCUUGAUUGGUGACUCGGUUCGAAGACAAGUCUACCUCUAAGCUCCCUACACUCAAAAUGAUCCGAGUCUUUCAAGGUCUCUCGGGUCUGUCUCAACACUUCGAGCUGUAAAGGGCUCUAUGGACUACAUCUACCCCUAAGCUCUAGUGAAGUGUGUAUGGUUACAUGCUUCACGGAGGGCUUACAAAGUUUAUGGGUGGCUGACAAAUGGCCAAGGCUACCUAUUGUGGUGGUCGAUAGGUAGAAGGGAUACAAUUGUAAAUUUUGUCUACUAGUCUGUGGUAAAAUAGGGAAGAGGCGUGGAGUAUGUUCCAUGCUGGACUAGUCCACAUAUCCCUCCACUUAAAGGUUCUACUCUACUUGCUCUUCACAUUGAGAAUAUUUCUUCUAGCUAUUGUUUCCUACUUUUGAUUUGUUGGCCAAGACUAGUUUCUUAGACUUUUGUUGACUACUUGAGUUCAAAAAUUCGCCAUCAUACCAUGUAGGACUAUGUGGGACCCAUAAGUAGGAUUAGCUAUUCCGUCAACAAUAUGUAUGCCUCUUUCAUUGUAAAAUGAAUUCACAUACUAAAGUGAUCUUUAUCACAUCCAAAAACUUUAGGUACAAUGCCUUCUUUUGGCCCUGAAAUAUUAGGAAAAGCUCCUACUACAUAUUUAAAAAGCGAGGUCUUCACCUUUGGUCAGUACCACUAAAAGGUUGAAAGCAAACAAAGUGUCUAACCAAGGGAGUAUAGAAAGGAAAAAAUGAACGGUUUAAAGGCACACUUAACCUUAAGGAAAUUAGGGAUAUGUCUCAUUGGAAACAUAGUAGCCAAGACUGGGUACUACUUCCCCCCUAGAAACAUGACUGUGGAUUUUUUUCAAAAUAAUUAAUGCAUAGUUUUAUGAAAAUCAUAAAUGUUACACCCUCCGUUCCAGAAUACUUAUCAUGGUGAACUAAACCAAUAAGAAUUAUGAAAUGGAGGGCGUAAUGUAUACCAAAAAAGUAUGCAAGACUCAAAAGAUUGUAACAUGUUUUCUAUAUUGCUAUGACAGAGUGGUGGAUCGCCCGCGAAGGGUUGUAGUGACAUGAUUUGUCCUGGCUUUCAAAAGACAUCAUCGAGUAUAGCUCCGGGAAGUAUCAUUAAUCCAGUUUCAGAUAUCCGGGGCCGAAAAUCAUACAUUACAAUAAGAGUUUUCAAGGUAAACAUGUUGCCCAAAUUCUACCUAGAUUAUUUAUCCUCUUGCAUUUAUUUUGGGUAUGGGGAGCAGUGCAUUUACUUUGGUGUUUUUAUAUUUAUAUUAAGGUGUUCAAAUGAGUUGGAAACUAGAACUAGCCGGAAUCAAACUGUUGUGGACAUUGUUGAGUCCUGCACCAACCCUGUGAACUCAGCAAUGUUCAAAAUCUCGCAUAAAGCUUUUGUUAAUUGUACUUGUUGGACCGACCUGUAAUGACAUACAAGAAAUUCUUAUCAUUGUAUAUUGGCUCAUGGUUGGUAGGGUGGGAUGCAACAUAUUUUUGGAGAAUGGCAUGCAUGUUAUGUAGUAAAAAUCUGUUCCUGACUACGACUCACACAAAUUUUAGGUUGUCACUCCAUAAAGUUACAAAUCCACUACGGCUGGCAAUGCACGACUUAAUUAGCCCUUGUGACAGCAACUUUAUGUCUAUUAGUCACCAUAACUUCUAAUAAUAAUUAUGUUGCUUACAACUAGGCCCAGUCUGUCAGACUCCAUCAACUGAAAUGAAUAUUGAUUGAUUAAAGCAUACGUAGUUUUGUGAUAUGACUAUCCAAAUAUGUAAUGCCUUCAUAAAUUCUCUUAUAAGUGUGAUUUUGAUAAGUUUAUCAAACUGAAUGCUCUCAAGAAUGUUUUAAAUAGUUGUUAUUUAUGUUUCCAGGAUAAAUCUUCUGGUGACUGGCACGUCCAUUAUGGAUUAAACGGUGGUAUCAAACCAGUUGGCUAUUUUCCCAAAUCCUUGAUUCCAGGACUUAUUGAUAGGAAAGUUGAGAUUAGUUUUGGAGGCUAUGUGUCUCACCAAAAGCCACAACCGAGUCCUCCGAUGGGAAGUGGCUACGCUCCAGCCAGUGGCAAUGCUGCGUCCUUCAAAAAUAUCAAACUAAUUGAUGCCAAUGGCAAUGCUCAUCUUGUGAACACAAAUCUUCCAUUUCGUGUGGACCCCAAAAGAUGCUAUCCUAUAUCUUACAUUGAUUCAGCCAGGUUCUUUUACGGGGGAUCUGGAUGUGCUGAUUAAAUCUGGAUGUCCCGUAUAUGUACUUGAAUUUCUAAUAAAAUAAGAAAUGAUUGUUCAUUGAUGCCUUCAAUUGAUAAGGACAAUUUGGCGGGUACCUUGCAAUAUUAUGUUGCCGCACAUGAUUUUAUUUUACUAAUAGGACAUCACCACAGGUAACUAGGUAUUACUAGACACGGUAUUGUCCAAGCUUGAGCCCCCAGGGUUGAGUAAGAGACAAGACCAUAUCUCGAGAAAGAGCACAAUGGUGGAUACGAGGUGAGAAUCUAACAAGUGGUUGGAUAUUUGAUGGUCGUGGUGGAUGAAUUAGGCAACCUACUGUAGAAGUUUCGAGAUUCUCUUUCCCAGUUAUAUAUUGUGCAAUAUGCAGAGCUUGUACAACCUACCGUCUUAUAGGCAAAAAAUAACUCUUCUUUAUAGAACUUAGAUAAAAAGAGAUUCAAAGAGGAUUAAAGUGCAAGUAUAAAUGCCUUACAAACUUCUUUUUUGAGAGCAUGCAAAUCGUAUGCCUUAACUUUAUAGAAGUCAGAAGGUAAAAUACAAAAAAACCAGUAUGUUCCCACAAUAGGUUGGUGAGUAGCGAACACCACCAGAUGGCGAGACACAAACAACCAGGAGAAAGUCAUCAUCUUGGAGUCACCCAUGACGGCAUACAUAGAGCCCUUGGCGAAAACUCUAGUACCAUGGUGAACACCAGUGGAACAUAAACAAGGAUGUCAUCACGCGUAGGCAGAACACAUGUGAGACACUAAGGACUGGAGACAUCCCUUGCCGAUUUGUAGAUGGGGUGCAAAGCGUGGAUCAAUCUCAAGGGGAGAAGUGUAGAGAGGACAUCGAGGUUCGGGCCGCAUGGCUGCAUAACACCCUACUCCUGCUUUUAUGUAGUUGAUUUGGUGGAUAGAGAGCUUCAAGUCCUUUUGGGAACGGAAAGUGUAGUGUUGCUCCUAUCUAAGUUCUACCAAGUGUCCAACCUUAUCCUGAAGUGGAUCUGGUCUAGUGUUUAUCCCCUGCCUCCCAUAGCUCGGUUCUCCUUUUAUAUUGCAAGGGACACCACAGUUGUUACGGAGGAGGGCAACUACCACAGAGAGGUAGGUAAGUUCAUUAAAUUCUUGAUGAAGUGUUGCCGUCUUCUGGUCUCUAAGAAUGAACACACAUCUUGUCUCCACCGCCCAUGGUGUUUACCUGGCGCAGAUGUGACACUCCUCCUCAUAGGUGCAGACCAUGUGGAAAUAUUAUCAGGGUGAUUCAUCCCUUGUAUCGCUGUCAUUCCAUUGGCACGCCUGCACACCCACUGCACAUCGUAAAAGGUCUGCUUAUGUAGGACUAACACGCCACCCGGGGGGGGGGGGUUGCGGUGGCUGGCUGUCUUCACUUAACGGAUGUGGGCCAGGUGGAAUGGUCAUUGUCGGGUGUGCUUGUUCCCAGAAGUCGGGUGUCCUGGAGUUGUUCCUUCCAGUACUUAGUUGCUGGCUUGGAGAAGAGUGUAGCAGAUCUAGACAAAGAUCUGCAUGGCACAACGGAGCCUGGGCUCCUUCUUGUUGUUGCUUGUUGAUGAUCUUGACAAAGAUUUGCAUGCUACCACAGAAUUGUGGUUGAAGGCUUAUUGCCGGAGUGUUUCUUCAUCUGUACUGCCUCGGAUGGGAGGCGACUGUGGCCUGUGCAUAAUUGGUUUCGUGAACCCAACGGUCAUGGUACCGACAGAAGGUUCCAGGCCUGGGCCGGAUGUGUACCUCACACAAGGUCAGUGUCGCGAGCCCCCUCAUCUGGUCAAGUCAGUUGCAUAAGAUAAAAUGAACUGCAGUGAGUGGAAAAAAAUCCCUCGAGCUACCUGUUCAAAUGCCAGUAGAUGGUUAGGCUUGAAUCCUCCUGUCCAUAAAUGCAAUGGGAUUUGAUGGCAUAUUGGGGUAGUUUGCAAUGCAUGGCGCCCUUUUCACAUCAGCGACAGGAAUCAAAUCUACCGCUUCAGUUUUUGACGACGUGUCGGUCCGUGCAUGUGGCCAGUUCACUCUUGACCCCCUUUAGUUCUUGCGCCGACGAGAGAAGUCAUGAUGCCGCUUUCCAUUUAUUCCCAAGACAGAUGAGACAGGGCACCGCUUGAGUUCAUCUUGGGAACCAUAGGUGCACUGGUAUGACCGAUGAUCCUCACGAUCGAGGAGUCGAUCUACCAGGUCCUUCGGCUUAUAAACACCGAGAAGGGACAUACUGCUCCUCCUCUUCCUUCAGUUCUUCCCCCUCCCUCCUCCUUCAUCUCCUCAUGGCAACUCAAGAAGUUGCAGAGUUUGAGGUGAAGCUCCUCGCAGAGGAGGUCCAGGCCCAAAGGGUGAAUCUCCAGGCCAAUGACACAAAGCUCAAAAACCUAAAGGAGAGGAUGAGGAUGGAGCUCCAUGUUGAAUAUAUUGUGUGCAUGUAUAUUGUGUCUUGGACCCACCUCAUAGUUCUCGUGUAUAGUUUUGGUUGUGGCCCCAUCCUGUACAUCAUAUAUGCGUGCCCAGUGCACCGAUCAAUGUAAUUGUGUUUCACGGCCUAUUCUUAGUCUUCUACAUGGUAUCUAUUGCAAGUCGGUCCUAACCCUAGCCGUCUCCACCACCGCGCCUCCACCGUGCCGCCGCUUCCUCCACUCGCCGCCGCCGCUCCCGGUUCCCUCCGGCCGCCGCUGCCCUCCCCACCCGAAGCCGCCGCCGCCAGCAUUCGCCGCCGCUCCUUCCUCUCCCACUUCCACACCCACUCCCCACCACCCACUCCCGCCACCACUCCCCACCCACGCCGCCCCACCCCUAGCUGCGCCGCCACCAACGCACACCGCCCCACCGUAGCCGCGCCGCCCCCACCUCCUACUAGCCGCACCAUGAGUUCCUCCUCCUCCACCGUCUCCAACCCCUUUGUCGGUCCAGAUGUCACCCUCGUUCGCGAUCUGAACAUCCACGAGCAUGUUCCGAUGGUUCUUGAUCAAUCCACCACGUCCUACUCCGCUUGGAAGCGGUAUUUCUCCUUGGUGUUUCGCGAGUACUUGCUCCACAACCAUGUCGAUGGCACCGUGGACUCCAACCUCAUGAUCCACUACAAGGAGAGAUGAUCCUCGACUGCACCAUCAUCCGCUGGUUCUACCUCACUAUCUCCAAGGAACUCUUUGAUACGUCCAUUUUGCAUCAUGUUUUCCUACUAUUAUUUAUGAUGUUUUUAUGCAUAAUAAUGCUUUUUGGAGUAAUUCUAAUGCCUUUUCUCCCAUAAUAUGCAAGGUACACACAAAGAGGGAGAACUUCGGCAGCUGGAAAUCUGGACCUGGAAAAGCUAUGGGAGGCCACCUAUUCUGAACAACUCCAAACAAGAUGAAACUUCACAGAGAUUUUUUAUGGAAUACUUGAAGAAUAUUGGAGCAAAUAAGUACCAGAGAGGGCCCAUCAGGUGGGCACAACCCACGUGGUCGCGCCCUGGUGGAUUGUGCUCACCCAGGCCCACCUCCGGUGCCCAUGUUUUGGUAUAUAAGUCAUUUUGACCUAGAAAAAAAUAAGGAGAGGACUUUCGGGACAGAGCGCCGCCGUCUCGAGGAGGAACUUGGGCAGGAGCACUUUUUCCCUCUGGCGGAGCAAUUCCACCAGGGGAACUUCCCUCCCGGAGGGGGAAAUCAUCGUCAUCAUCAUCACCAACAACUCUCCCAUCUUGGGGAGGGCAAUCUCCAUCAACAUCUUCAACAACACCAUCUCCUCUCAAACCCUAGUUCAUCUCUUGUGUUCAAUCUUUAUACCGGAACUAUAGAUUGGUGCUUGUGGGUGACUAGUAGUGUUGAUUACAUCUUGUAGUUGAUUACUAUAUGGUUUAUUUGGUGGAAAAUUAUAUGUUCAGAUCCAAUAUGCUAUUUAAUACCCCUAUGAUCUUGAGCAUGAUUAUCAUUUGUGUCGGAGUAAAUGGCCACGGGUAGCCUAACCGACUCGCCCUGGCUCUUCAAAAAUUACCAGGCCAAUCGAGCCUUCAAGCAUCCAGAGCACAGGGCCGCCUUCCCCUAGCCGGCUAUCACCUAGGCCGACUAGCAGAAGGCGACCUGGCCUCAAAAACCUUCCCGAAGAGAACUACAAGAUGGCCGACUCCAGGAAGCCGGCCCCAAGAGGACCGACUCCCAGAAGCCGGCCAUGAAGAAGUCCGACUCCCAGAAGCCGGCCAAGACUGCACCCUCAAGGGCUACACCCACAUAAUGGUGAUGAGACGGGGCGUGGCUACAGUACAACCUGCCACCCCCCGAAUCCCGGAGCACGUGUGGCCACAGUACGCCGUACGGGUCGGCCAUCCCCUGUCCGGCGCAGCACUGUUGCCAUGUUGACCAUGACACCACCCACGACAGGUGCUAGUACGGCCCGCGGGCGGCGGGCCCCUUCAGCCAGAGAGAUGCUCGACGGCGGCCAGGCCUCCCCCAGUCGGCCUGGGGCGUAGCCGGCUCCCAACAGCCGGCUAUUCCCCAUCCUCGAAGUAUGUGCAUCAUUAAGGAGACAAGACGAGGUAAGGCUACAGUGAGAGCCCGCAAGGCGGCGGCACUGUGGCCAUGCUUACCUCGACAAAGCCCUCGUCAUCAGAGGCAAGGCUACAGUAACCAGCCACCGACAAGACCCCCAGGCGGUGGGGCCGGCCUAUCGGCCAUGAGGCCGGCAGCCGGCGGGACCCACGAGUCGGCGGGCCCCAGCGGUCGGCGGAGAAGCCGGCGAAUACAAACACUGACGGCUAGGACCCGCGUCCAGCCGGAUUACCAUUGUACCCCUGGGGGGUAGGCCUAUAUAAACCCCCCAGGGCAGCCAUGCAAAGGAUUGAUCUGAUAUAGUUUUAGACACCACGUAGAGAAAAAGGAGAGCUAGCCUUGCCCUUCUUCUUCCUCUAGCCAAACAGCUCAAGGAGCCUCUUGUAGCUACUUGUGUUGAUCUAGUGAUCAUGCGGAGACCCCGCAGAGCAGGAUUAGGGGUGUUAUCUCCUCGGAGAGCCCCGAACCUGGGUAAGAUUCGCUGGCGUGCAUGCCUUCGCCUUAUCCCGUUUCCAGGCACCGGCGAUGUCUUACUGGCUCCCACAAUGAUAAGCCACCCGUUGGCAUAUGUCGCACCUACCACCCGACAUUUGGCGCCCACCGUGGGGCCAGGUGCACUGUCGUCCAGAGACCUAUUCUGGACGAGAACCCUUUUCCUUCCCCGCGAGCGUAGCCAGCCCGCCACGUCCGAUGGUGCCUGCCCUGACGCGCUGCAAGGCGUCGACGACGCCUGCGCGGCGAGCUGCCUCGCCGAUCUUCUUGGCGAGGCUCGCAUCUCUGACGAGCCUGCGUCCGACGCGGGCACAGACUGCCCCGAGAGCCGCCUCAUCAGCCUCCUCGACGAGCUCCACGUCUCCAGCGAGCUUGCUGUGGACUUGGAGUCGGUCGGCUCCACCGACCCGAUGCUGGUCGACUCCGACACGGCAUCACUUGACGCCUUCCCCACCAACAUGGUGAUCAUCGACGACCCUCUCCCUCGAGACGACAGUGGCAGCAGCGCUGUCACUGAGGUAUUGGUCAUCAGCCACGGCGCCGUCUCCGACGAGAACGCCCACGACGCCCUACAAGCGGCGCUGCGCGACUUGUCCGUCCCCAUCCCGGCCGACGCCGACGCCGAGACACUGGAGGCACGCCGCCUCGCCCUCGUCGCGGAAGGCCAGAAGAUAGCAUCCAUGAGACGCCUCACUGAGGCUCACCAGCGCGAAGUCGACCGCUCCGCCUUUCGUACGCCGCCUCCUGGCGUGCCGAGCUGAGCCGGCUUCGUCAAGAAGCGCGACGCAGCCAUCGCCAGCAUGCUAGGAGCAGAUCGCCCAGUCUACGCCACGCCGCUCGAGAACCUGCGUGUCGCCCAGGCGGCCGCAGACGAGCUGAACGGGCUGGGGGCUGACGAGCUCCCCUACAUGACUAAGCGCAUCCAGCAGCUGAUCGACGCUGCCGCAGGGCAGCAUGAAGCCAGCGCCCGCGCUGAAAGUCCUCACCCACGCCGAGAGCACGACGCGACAUCCCGGACGCCGACUACAGACGGCGCCCGCGCAAGAAAAGACAAGGAGCUGGCUGCUAGCCACAGCCGGACUCGGCUCACCGUCGAGCGCGACGCAGAAGGCCACCCCCGAGCUGUGGAACGACGAGGCGAUCCGCCUCCUCCCCUGCCUCGUGGGGAGAGAUAUCCCACCCCGCCGCCUGUCACGCAUCCGACUCUCGGCGGCCGACUAGGCCGCCGCGAGGGAGUCGGCGAGAAUGAUGCCCGCCACCGGAUCGACCGCCUAGCGCGAUCCCUGGCGCUAGAAGAAGAAGAUGAUGUCGGCCCACCUUGCUUUGGCCCCUGCAUCCGCGACGAGCCCUUCCCCAAAGGGUUCUCGCUCCCAAGAGACACGCCAAAGUACAACGGCUCCGUGAAGCCGGAAGACUGGUUGAUCGACUACUCCACCGCAGUCUGCAUAACAAACGGCAACAGGCGCGUUGCCGUGAAGUACGUCCCGCUCAUGCUUCAAGGCACGACACGCACUUGGCUGAACAGCCUCAAGCCCUACAGUAUCAACAGCUGGCUAGACUUCACGGAAGUCUUCGUCCGCAACUUCACCAGCACGUACAAGCGGCCUCCCAAGCCCCGCCAGCUCUCCUUGUGCGUGCAAGGGCCCAGCGAAUCGACUCGCGACUACCUCACGCGUAGGGCCGAGCUCCGUAACUCCUGCGAGGGGGUGCACGAGGUUCAAGCCAUAGAGUACUUCACCGCCGGGUGCCAAGAGGGCACCCUCCUCAAGCACCGACUCCUCUGCGAUGAGCCGACUACCCUCGACGAGCUGCUGAUCAUAGCAAACAAGUACGCCACUGCCGACUCCUCGAUGAAGACCGAGCUUCGAGUGGAUGCCUCUGGGAAGGUACUCGCUCCGGCUCCCAAGACGCCGGCUGCCGACUCCAACCAACGCCCUUACCAGAAUGACAACAAGCGCAAGGCCCCCAUGCCGCCUUCCACCAGUCGGCAAGUAGCCACAGUCGAAGACGAACAAGCAGAAGAGCGGCCCGCUCCCAAGAAGCGGAAGGCCGGCAGGCCGGCUUGGAAGCCGGCUUUCUCCUACGAGCAAACCCUUGAUGCUCCCUGCAAGUUUCACAGCGGCGCGAAGCCGUCCAACCACACGACACAGAAGUGCCAUUGGCUCACACGGGUCUCCAAAGGCGAGGGGCUGGUGCCGCCUCCACCUGCUGGCCCGCCGCCUCCGGCCCCUCAGCAGCCGGCUGUUCGCCCCGCAGUCGGAGCCAUUCAAGAUGAGUUCCCAGAUGAGAACGCCUCCUACGUCGUCUUCACGAGCCAAAUCGAAGAUAGGCACAGUCGGCGCCGACAGCGCCAAGAAGUCAACACAGUUGCCUCCAACAACCCAGAGUUCAUGCAUUGGUCUGAGAAGCCCAUCAGCUGGAUCCAGGCUGAUCACCCAGAGGUGAUGCCGUCUUCUGGCUCCUAUGCAUUGGUGUUGAACGCCACCCUCGCGACAGAAAGGCGAGCUGCCCGUUUCUCCCGUGUGCUGAUUGACGGCGGGAGCAGUAUCAACAUAUUGUACCGUGACACCAUGGAGAAGCUGAACCUCAAGACGAAGCAACUCAUGCCAAGCCGGACUGUUUUCCAUGGUAUCGUACCUGGCCUGUCCUGUUCCCCAAUCGGCAAGAUCAAGAUGGAUGUCCUCUUCGGAGACAAGGAUCACUUCCGCCGAGAGGCGAUCUGGUUUGAAGUGGUGGAUCUAGAGAGCCCUUACCAUGCAUUGCUUGGCCGACCUGCCCUGGCCAAGUUCAUGGCUAUGCCCCACUACGCCUACCUCAAGAUGAAGGUGCCGAGUUUGAAGGGGAUCAUCACCAUAGCCGGAGACUACAAGAAAUCUUCCGAGUGUGCUGCAGCCAGCAGCCGGCUAGCCGAGUCCCUGUUGAUUGCUGAAGAGAAGAAGAUGCUGGACCGAGUCGUGGCCAUGGCCGGCAAGUAGCCGGCCCUGUCCCCCGAUCCCAAGGAGUAUGACGCUCAAGGCUCCUUCCAGCCAGCCAAGGAAACCAAGAAGAUACCGUUGGACCCGGAGAACCCGGAGAGGUUUGCUGUCAUUGGGGCAAACCUGGACAGUAAAUAGGAAGGCGAGCUCAUCGACUUCCUCCGUGAGAAUUGGGACAUCUUUGCAUGGUCCCCAAAGGACAUGCCAGGUGUUCCGAAGGAUUUCGCCGAGCACAAGCUACACGUUCAAGCAGACGCAAAGCCAGUCAAGCAACCUCUCCGCCGACUGUCGGAGGAGAAGAGAAGGAUAGUGGGUGAAGAGAUAGCCCGGCUCCUGGCAGCCGGCUUCAUUAUGGAGGUGUUUUUCCCAGAAUGGCUUGCCAACCCGGUCCUAGUGUUGAAGAAGAACAACAAAUGGCACAUGUGUAUAGAUUACACUAGCCUCAACAAAGCCUGCCCCAAAGAUCCGUUUGCCUUACCUCGAAUUGAUCAAGUGAUAGACUCCACAGCUGGAUGCGAGCUGUUGAGUUUCUUGGAUGCCUACUCAGGCUACCACCAGAUCAAGUUGGAUCUAGCCGACCGCCUGAAGACCGCCUUCAUCACACCAUUCGGAGCUUUCUGCUACCUGACUAUGACAUUCGGCUUGAGAAAUGCCGGUGCCACUUUUCAGCGUUGCAUGCAGAAAUGCCUCCUCAAGCAACUCGGCAGAAAUGCCCACGUCUAUGUAGAUGAUAUCGUGGUGAAGACGAAGAAGCGUGACACCCUGCUGGAAGACCUCAGAGAAACAUUUGCCAACUUGCGACGGUUCCAGAUCAAGCUCAACCUUGAGAAAUGUGUGUUCGGAGUACCAGCCGGCCAGCUUCUAGGCUUCUUGGUCUCCGAACGCGGCAUUGAGUGCAACCCAGUGAAGAUCAAGGCCAUUGAGAGAAUGGAGAUUCCUACCAAGCUGCGAGACGUCCAGAAGUUUACCGGGUGCCUGGCCUCCCUAAACCGCUUCAUCAGCCGGCUAGGAGAGAAGGCUCUCCCCCUGUACCGACUCAUGAAGAAGUCCACCCACUUCGAGUGGAACGACCAGGCAGAUCAAGCUUUCCACGAGUUGAAGAAGAUGCUGACCACGCCGCCUGUCCUGGCAGCACCGACUGAGAAAGAGCCCAUGCUCCUUUACAUUGCCGCGACUAGCCGAGUGGUCAGCACAGUGAUUGUGGUCCAACGCCCAGAAGAAGGCCGAGCUCAGUUAGUCCAGAGGCCGGUAUAUUAUUUGAGCGAAGUACUGUCCACCUCGAAGCAAAAUUACCCGCACUACCAGAAGAUGUGCUAUGGAGUAUACUUCGCUGCCCAGAAGCUGAAGCCCUACUUUCAAGAGCAUCCCAUCAUGGUCGUAUGCACUGCCCCGCUUGCCGAGAUCAUAGGCAGCCGGGAUGCAUCCGGCCGGGUGGCUAAGUGGGCCAUUGCGCUGGCUCCCUACACAAUCUUCUACUAGCCCCGCACCGCCAUCAAGUCCCAAGCAUUGGCCGACUUCCUUGUCGACUGGGCCGAGACCCAGUACCUACCGCCGACUCCCGACUCCACUCAUUGGCGGAUGCACUUCGAUGGAUCCAAGAUGCGCACCAGCUUGGGAGCCGGCAUCGUCCUCACCUCUCCCAAGGGCGACAAACUCAUAUACACAUUGCAAAUUCAUUUUGCCGCCUCCAACAAUGUGGCCGAGUACGAGGCGCUCAUACACGGGCUCCGCCUAGCCAAAGAACUCGGCAUACGCCGGAUCCUGUGCUAUGGCGAUUCGGAUCUGGUAGUCCAACAAUCAUCUGGCGACUGGGACGCCAAGGACGCAAACAUGGCGAGCUACCGAUUCCUCGUCCAGCAAAUCAGCGGAUACUUUGAAGGGUGCGAGUUCCUCCAUGUGCCAUGGGCCGACAACGAGCAAGCAGAUGCCCUGGCACGGAUCGGCUCCACCCGACAAGCUAUACCAGCCGGCGUCUCUCUUCAACGCCUCCUCAAACUGUCUGUCAAGCCGUCUCCAGAAUCAGACUCCAUCUUCGUACCGCCUACCCCUGAUGCAGUCGGAUCCGGCUUGGGGAACCCAGCAGGCGGCUCGGGGACUUCGACAGGUGGCCGGGGGACUGCCGUAGUCGCACCCGGCUCGGGGACUUCAGAACCCGGCCCAAGGACUGCAGCAGUCGGCCCGGGGACUGCAACGACACAACAGGCGGUGGCCGACUCCAACUCUUCAGCACCCAACCCACCCACCCUGGUCGCAGUAGCCGUAUUGGCAAUAGAAGAAGUCGCAACUCCAUCAUGGGCCCAACCCAUCCUCAACUUCCUAGUAAACAGAGAGCUGCCGACUGAUGAGAUCUCGGCAAGACAAGUUCAACGCCGAGCCAGAGCAUACACAAUAAUCAACAGAUAACUCAUUAAGCGUAGCGUCACUGGAGUCUUCCAGCGCUGUGUCGAGCCAGAGAAGGGCAUAGCAAUCCUCAAGGACAUCCACCAAGGCGAAUGCGGCCACCAUGUAGCCUCAAGGUCACUUGUCGCCAAAGCUUUCCGCCAUGGUUUCUUCCGGCCGACUGCUUUGGAGGACGCCAAGGAAUUAGUCAAAUGCUGCAAAGGGUGCCAAGUCUUCAGCUCCAAGCAACACCUGCCGGCUUCUGCACUCAAGACCAUCCCCCUUACCUGUCCCUUUGCCGUCUGGGGGCUGGACAUGGUGGGCCCAUUCAAGACGGCGCGCGGCGGCAUGACACAUUUACUUGUCACCGUAGACAAAUUCACCAAGUGGAUUGAAGCGAAGCCAAUCAAGAAGCUGAAUGGGCCGACUGCCGUGACAUUCAUCGCAGGCGAGCGAACGGCCUCAUCCUCUCCGGCAUCAAGCCCCGACUGGUCGUACCACUGGAGCGUUCGGCCGGUUGCUGGCUCGAUGAGCUGCCGGCUGUCCUCUGGAGUCUGCGUACUACCCCAAACAAGUCAACCGGCUUCACCCCUUUCUUCCUUAUAUAUGGUGCCGAGGCGGUCAUCCCAACUGACAUCGAGUUCGACUCGCCUCGAGUCACCAUGUACACGGAGGCGGAGGCCUAGGAAGCGCGAGAAGAUGGCGUCGACCUGCUGGAAGAGGGCCGGCUGUUAGCACUCAGCCGGUCCGCCAUCUACCAGCAGGGUUUGCGCCAUUACCAGAACCGGAAGGUCAAGCCAAGGUCCUUCCAAGAAGGCGAUCUUGUGCUCCGGCUGAUCUAGCGAAUAGCCGGCCAGCACAAGCUCUCGGCCCCUUGGGAAGGCCCCUUCGUCGUCAGCAAGGCCCUAGGCAAUGACUCCUACUACUUGAUCGACGUAUAGAAGCCGAAGGCACGCAAGAGAGAUGAUUCUGGCAAGGAGUCGGAAUGACCAUGGAACGCCAAUCUCCUCAGAAGAUUUUACAGUUGAAAGCAGUAUGUACCACGCUACCUUUUUGUAUUAAGUACAAGACAACGGGCCCCCCGAGGUGUACUCGGGGACUACCCUCUUUUAUCUAUGUAUGACGAGUGUCAUACCUAUGAAUGUAUUGUUACAUUUGAUUUUCUGUCCGGCACCGGGUUCGACCAGUCGGCCCGGGGACUUGCCGCUUUGAGUUAUAUUAAAGUUCUGUCUGCAGUCAGACAAGUAGUGUGCCAGCGCCCGAGCCCUCUCUUGUAGAAAGUCGCAGCUCGAAGAACCGACUGACCGACUGGCAAGAGCCAAAGGCAGGAAAGGAUGCCCACACGAAAAACGGCUAAGGACUAAUGAACCUAUAUAACACAAGCCGGCCUCCCAGCACGCCUACCAGCUGUCAGAACAGCCGGCUGGCCGGCUACCCAUUCACUUUGCUACAAUCCAAGAAAGCUAGAGUACUUGCCCUCCCAACCGGCCAAGCACUUCUCCAGACACAGACUGCAGAGCAGCUGUCCGGCUGAGAAAGCGGCGACCAAGGGAGGGCGGCAAAGGAAACAACCAAAGGAUGAAAAGCAAGAACAAUGGGAAGCCAAACACAUGCAUGAUUAUAUUUACACAAAAGGCCUUCGAAAGGCCGGCAUUUAACAUAGUUUGAAUACACCCCCAGUGGGUGGAACUGUGCAAAUUUAACAAAAUAUUGUUCAAAGAGUAAUAAAACAUGAAAGUAAAGGCGGCAGAUUAGGCUAAGGGCGCAACAGGCGAGCCGGGCUGGUCGGUGGAGACGACAGCGCCAGCUGGAGGAGUGGCCGGCUGGCGAGUCUCGGCUUGAUCAUCGCUGGCUGCAAGCGGUGCGCUCGCACGCGCCUCGUUGCUGGAGGCACGAUCAAGCUGAGGCUGCCGGCUGCUCCACCAUCUGGCACGACGUCUUCACCAUCCUCCUCCUCCUCCUCACCCUCAUCGCUGGAGUCGAUCUCCUCCGCCGAGUCCUCGCCAUCUGCUGGGUUCAGCCCGAACCACUCCUCCGGCUGAGCAACGCCGUUAUCAUCCACCUCAGGAGCAAAGGCGCUGGUGUCGGUGUAGUCGGCGAUCACCGAGGCACGCUGGAUGAUAGGCGGCCGCGCCGACUCUAGCUCCGUGUCGGCCUCCUGCCGCCAGGUGGCCAGCUAGUCCAAGCUCAGCUCAGGAUACCAGGCUUUGACGAACUCCAGCGCCCGCCUGGCGCCUGACCGAGCUGCAGAAGCCUUCCAGGCCUCGAAGCGGCCGGCCGCUACCUCCAGCCAGUCGGCGGUCCGACUGGGGGGUGCGGGGAAUCACCUCGCCGGGCCAGAGAGCGGCCAGCACUUGCGCCCCAACACACUGAAGCCGACGGAGCAUGCGGUGAGCCGGCUGGAGGUGGGCUUGAAUCGCCAGGAGCUGUUCCUCAAGCGACCGGUGAGCGUUCGACGCGAUCUCAGUGCCAGCCUGCCUUUGUGCCUCGCGAUGGGCCUCAAUGACCUGGUUGGCGGCAGUAGAGUAACCAGGGAAGUACUCUGCACAAGAAAGAAAGAAAGAGAAGGAAGAGAAAAAUACAAAGUUAGAAAAUGAACCAAAUGGCAAGCGGCAAGCAAGGAACGAAGAAGAAGGCAGCCUACCGUCAACCAAGUCUUCGAUCUGGCCGUAGCCGUUGAUCAACGACUGCCUCGCUUCAGCCCAGCUCGCCGCCUCGGUCUCGUACUCGGCUUGGAGGGCGGCCUCACUGUCCUGCACCGCCUUCAGGGCCGCCUUGUGGCUCUCCUCCUGGUCGGCCAGCUUCUUGACCAGGCGGUCACCCUCCUGAGCCAAGGCGUCGAACUCGGCUUUUCCUUAGCGCGAAGGGCGGCCUGGGUCCCACCCAACUGCUCCCUCAGUUUGGCGUUGGCCGCUGCAGAUAUGGCAAAGAAGAAAAAAGCAAUAAGAAAGAAGUCGUCAGGAAAGAUCCGGCCCGACUGCUCAGCAGUCGGCCCGAAUCUCGGGGACUACACCCAGUGGGUGCGCUGACGCGCCCCCACGUAAGAUAAAAAAAAGGAAGCACCUACCCCGGCUCUCCGUUAGAUCAGCGGUCUUCUGGGACAGCUCCCGAGCCUGGGAGUUGAAGGCAGCCGCACGAAGGUUAUGGUAGUCCUGCAAGUCGGACAAAGAAGCGAGUAAGAACAAGAUAGCAAAUAAAGUCUACCAAGAAGUUCCAAGCCGCCUGCUCCACAGCCGACUCGGAACUCGGGGACUACACCCAGUGGGUGCGCUGACGCGCCCCCACGGAAGAAACCAAGAUCAAGAAGCAAAAAACGGGAAGACUCACCCGAAUGGCUGCCCGUGUCGUGAGGAUCUCGUCAUUGUACUGCCUCAGCACGGCGGCCUGGGACUGAAGCCGGUUCCGGACUUCUUGCACCGCCACAUCACCACGGCUGUCCCACCACCCGGCGUCCACCCCAAGCUGGCGCUGGCCGUCUCCACGUCCUGGGCCGACGAGCUGGAGCCCGCGGCCUUCUGCGGGUCCGGCGCCGUAGUUGCCUUCCCCGCGCGCUGGCGCGAUGGCGACCGGACCACCAGGUCCGUCCUUGCAGCCUGCUCGCCUCCAGCCGAUUGCGCAGGCGGUGCGUUAGGCCGGCUGCCUUGGGCCGCCCCAGUCGGCGAUGGUGGUGCCGCCUCCCUCUCCUGGACGACGACGUCGUCCUCCUCCCUCUCCAUCCCCGGCAGGUCGCCACCGGCUUCCUCCGGCGGGGGCUCCGGGAUCUCAGGCGCCACGGCGCGCAGGGGGGUGACAAGCAAGGCCCCGGCCGCUGCGGCUGCAGCCUCCGCCUGAGCCUUGGCCGCCGCGUCGGCUUGUACCUUCACCGACUCCUCCGCCUCCUCCUGCGCCGCCUUGGCGACAGCCGCCCUCAGCUCUUCCGCGUCCCGCGCCUCCCGCGCAUUUCGCUCCGUCACCGCUUGAAGCUCGGCGCGGGGGUCCACGUGGCAGGUGCUCCCGGAUCCUCCCGGUGAUCCAACCACGGAGGCGGCAGCGACCCACUCAAGAGAAAGCAGAGCCCUGUUUUUUAAGUCAAGACAAGGAUUCAGAAACCGACAAGAAAAGAAGAAGGAAUACGCGAGAGAAUCGACACUUACGCUGAAACCUUUUGCGGCUGCUUCACCACCUUGCGGAAGCGGGCCGCCUCUUCCUGCCUGGUCGCCGCCGCCCCGCUCUUGGGCUUCUUCGGCCGACUGCCGAUAGGGCCAACACAGCCCGGCGCUUCUACGCGCCGCCUCGGGCAGCCGGCGUGGCAGAUGAGCCCGCGCCCUGAUCAGACGCCGGCUGGCGGCGCGGGACGAUUUCCGCCUCGUCGUCAUCCGGCCAGUCUUCGAAGCUGGCUCCAAGCCCGGAGCCGCCUGCUUCGCUGCCUCCCGCCUCGGUGUUGUCGUCCAUGGCGGCCGCUCCCAAGUCGGGGUCCUCCAAGUCGUGCGCCGCCCGGUCGGGGAGAAAUUGGCGAUCCGCCCCCGCUGACCCGGCAGCCGGUUGAAGGAGAGGGUUCUGCCAAGACGAGCCGACUGGUCAGAGUCGGCCAAGAAAAACUUGGUGAUAAAAAUAAAGAAGAGAAGAUUUAGAAAGCGUACCAUAGGCGGAGGAUUGGCGCGGGAGUAUGGCUCCUUGCCAAAUUGCCACUCCUCGAAGAGCUUGCAGUUAGCGAGAUAAUUCACCAUGUGAGCUACCUCAUCAUGAGGCAUCUCCUUGGUGAACAUCCGACUCGGAUCUAGUUGACCGCUCAUUUGACAGAUCAAAUGAGGGUGGCCUUGAAGUGGGAGCACCCGGCGCACCACGAAGGCGGCCAGCAGGUCGGACCCAGUCAGGCCCUCCGACUGGAUCAUUACCCGAAACCGGGCGACGGCGGCGGCCCCAUCCUACGUCAGUGUCCUGGCCCGAUAGGACCACUGGGGCCGCCUCCCAGCUGGCGGGCCGGCUACGUAAGCCGGCAAGUUGACGUAGUCGCCUUGCGGGGCGAUGUUCUUCACGUAGAAGUAUGACUUCUGCAAGAGCUUCACCGACUGGAUUAGUGUGAUGACAGGGAAGGGGUUGUCGGCUGCCGACCUCCGCAUCGCGAUGAAGGCGCCGCUCUGAGCCGGCACGCCCUGCAUCUGGGUGUCGAGCUUGGAUUGGAAGAAUUCCCCCUAGAGCUCGAGGGUGGAAAGAAUGCCAAGGAAGCCCUCGCACAGAGUGACGAAGGCAGACAGCAGCACCACCGUGUUUGGAGUGAGGUGGUGCGGCUGGAGCUGGUAGAAUUCAAGGAAGGAGCGGAAGAAGGCGCUAGCUGGCAGGCCGAGGCCGCGCAAGAAAUGCGAAUGGAAGAGUACCUGCUCACCUUCCUCCGGCGCCGGCGUGAUCUCCUUCUCCGGCGCGAGACGGACCUGCACCUGGUCCUUGCCGGGCAACUGCCGCGUCUUGCGGAGGAAGUCGAUGUGGUCCGCGUGGACGUUGGAGCCGUCCCAGUCUCCGCCGUGCUACAUGAUGGCAAGAAGCUGACGAGAAAGGGUGCGGCGGUGGAGAAACCACGGCCCCGCGGCGGCGAGGUUGCGGGGUAGUGCGAAGAUUGUUGGGAUGGCGCGGCGGCGAGAGAAGGAGGAAGAAGAUGGCGGAGUGAGGAUGAGCAUGCGAACGUCUGCCGCCCCCCUCCUCCCCCAACUUAUAGCCUCGUGCGGCGAAGCCGAGGAGGCGAGGCGUGGGGGGGAACGUGGGAUUAACUGCGCCCACUCCCCCACGUCCCGCGAUUAUAGCGCCCUAACGACGUGCAGAAACUUCCGUCGGAAGGCGAGCGGCCCGCUUUGGGCCACAGAAAAUCCGCGCCUGGGCCUAGGCGUGGAAGUGGUGGGCCCCGGCCUGCGGCGGCAUCCCGUCGCGCGCGUGGGCUGGCAGGCUUUUCUCGGCAGGAAGGUGCCACAUGGCGCGCGGGCGGCGAGCGGCCGGCCCGCAGCCCGGCGAGCGCACCGGCAGGCUCCCGCUUUCAGACUUCAAAAAAUUUCGCCAAGACGGCGCACCCAACCGAAGCCGGCUCCUAGCUGCUGGCUCUUCAAGAUAAGAAGCUGACCAAGCUUCUCAACCUCCUCUCAGCCUCGAAGCCCAACCAGCUUCGGGGACUACUGUCGGAGUAAAUGGCCACGGGUAGCCUAACCGACUCCCCCUGGCUCUUCAAAAAUUACCAGGCCAAUCGAGCCUUCAAGCAUCCAGAGCACAGGGCCGCCUUCCCCUGGCCGGCUAUCACCUAGGCCGACUAGCAGAAGGCGACCUGGCCUCAAAAACCUUCCCGAAGAGAACUACAAGAUGGCCGACUCCAGGAAGCCGACCCCAAGAGGACCGACUCCCAGAAGCCGUCCAUGAAGAAGUCCGACUCCCAGAAGCCGGCCAAGACUGCACCCUCAAGGGCUACACCCACAUAACGGUGAUGAGACGGGGCGUGGCUACAGUACAACCUGCCACCCCCCGAAUCCCGGAGCACGCGUGGCCACAGUACGCCGUACGGGUCGGCCAUCCCCUGUCCGGCGCGACACUGUUGCCAUGUUGACCAUGACACCACCCACGACACGCGCUAGUACGGCCAGCGGGUGGCGGGCCCCUUCAGCCAGAGAGAUGCUCAAAGGCGGCCAGGAAUCCCCCAGUCGGCCUGGGGCGUAGCCGGCUCCCAACAGCCGGCUAUUCCCCAUCCUCGAAGUAUGUGCAUCAUUAAGGAGACAAGACGAGGUAAGGCUACAGUGAGAGCCCGCAAGGCGGCGACACUGUGGCCAUGCUUACCUCGACAAAGCCCUCGUCAUCAGAGGCAAGGCUACAGUAACCAGCCACCGACAAGACCCCUAGGUGGUGGGGCCGGCCUGUCGGCCAUGAGGCCGGCAGCCGACGGGACCCACCAGUCGGCGGGCCCCAGCGGUUGGCGGAGAAGCCGGCGAAUACGGACACUGACGGCUAGGACCCGCGUCCAGCCGGAUUACCAUUGUACCCCUGGGGGGUAGGCCUAUAUAAACCCCCAGGGCACCCAUGCAAAGGAUUGAUCUGAUAUAGUUUUAGACACCACGUAGAGAGAAAAGGAGAGCUAGCCUUGCCCUUCUUCUUCCUCUAGCCAAACAGCUCACGGAGCCUCUUGUAGCUACUUGUGUUGAUCUAGUGAUCAUGCGGAGACCCCGCAGAGCAGGAUUAGGGGUGUUAUCUCCUCGGAGAGCCCCGAACCUAGGUAAGAUUCACCGGCAUGCAUGCCUUCGCCUUAUCCCGUUUCCAGGCACCGACGAUGUCUUACUGGCUCCCACAAUGAUAAGCCACCCGUUGGCAUAUGUCGCACCUACCACCCGACAAUUUGUGAGUAGUUACUUUUGUUCUUGAGGUCACGGGAGAAUCAUGUUGCAAGUAAUCAUGUGAACUUGAUAUGUGUUUGAUAUUUUGAUAGUAUGUAUGUUGUGAUUCCCUUAGUGGUGUCAUGUGAACAUCAAAUACAUGACACUUCACCUUAUUAGAGCCUAAGGGAAUGCAUUGUGGAGUAGUUAUUAGAUUAUGGGUUGCGAGAGUGACAGAAGCUUAAACCCUAGUUUAUGCGCUAUUCCGUAAGGGACCGAUUGGAUCCAAAAGUUUAAUGCUAUGGUUAGAAUAUAUUCUUAAUACUUUUCUCAUAGUUGCGGAUGCUUGCGAGGGGGUUAAUCAUAAGUAGAAGGUUUGUUCAAGUAAGAACAACACCUAAGCACCGGUCCACCCACAUGUCAAAUUAUCAAAGUAGCGAACACAAAUCGAAUCAACAUGGCGAAAGUGACUAGAUGAAAUUCCCGUGUACCCUCUAGAACGAUUUGCUUACUAUAAGAUACCGUUUUGGCCUGUCCUUUGCCUCAAAAGGAUUGGGCUACCUUGCUGCACUUUUGUUACUACUAUCAUUACUUGCUCGUUACAAAUUAUUUUGCUAUCAAACUACUCUGUUACUUACAAUUUCAGCACUUGCAGAUAUUACCUUGCUGAAAACCACUUGUUAUUUCCUUCUACUCCUCGUUGGGUUCGACACUCUUACUUAUCGAAAAGAGCUACAAUUGAUCCCCUAUACUUGUGGGUCAUUAAGGCUAUUUUCUGGCGCCCUUGCCGGGGAGUGAAGCGCCUUUGGUAAGUGGAAUUUUGUAAGGAAACAUUUAUAUAGUGUGCUGAAAUUUAUUGUCACUUGUUACUAUGGAAAAUAAUCCUUUGAGGGGCUUGUUCGGGGUAUCUUCACCUUGACCGGAACCACAAUUAGCUACCCCUCAACCUACUGCACCUACUGAAAAUAUUGAAUAUGAAAUUCCUUCGGGUAUGAUAGAACAACUGCUAGCUAAUCCUAAUGCAGGAGACUGAACCGAACAUCCUGAUAUGCACUUGAUAUAUGUGGAACAAAUUUGUGGAUUGUUUAAGCGUGUAGGUUUACUCGGAGAUGAAGUUAUGAAAAAGGUUUCCCUUUAUCUUUGAAGGUAAAAGCAUUGGCAUGGUAUAGGCUAUGCGAUGAUAUCGGAUCUUGGAAUGGGAAUCGAUUGAAAUUGGAGUUCCACCAAAAAAUUUAUCCUAUGCAUCUAGUUCAUCGUGAUCGGAAUUAUAUAUAUAAUUUUUGGCCUUGUGAAGGAGAAAGUAUCGCUCUAGCUUGGGGGAGGCUUAAGUCAAUGUUAUAUUCAUCCCCCAAUCUUGAGCUCUCAAAAGAAAUUAUUAUUCGGAAUUUUUAUGCUCGGCUUUCUCGUGAUGAUCAAUCCAUGCUUGGUACUUCUUGUACUGAUUCUUUUAUGAAGAAGACUAUUGAAUUCCGGUGGGAUCUUUUGGCAAGAAUUAAACGAAACUCUGAAGAUUGGGAACUCGAUGAAGGUAAAGAGUCAGGUAUUAAGCUUAAGUAUGAUUGUGUUAAGUCUUUUAUGAAUACCGAUGCUUUUCAAAAGUUUAGCGCUAAAUAUGGACUUGACUCUAAGAUAGUAGCCUCCUUUUGUGAAUCAUUUGCUACUCAUGUUGAUCUCCCUAAAGAGAAGUGGUUUAAAUAUCACCCACCUAUUAAAGAAGAAAUUAAAGAACCGGUACCAGUUAAAGAAGAAGCUAUACUUUAUAAUGUUGAUCCAGUUGUUCCUACUGCUUAUAUUGAGAAACCACCUUUCCCUGUUAGGAUAAAGGAACAUGCUAAAGUUUCAACUGUGGAUAACAAAAGUUAUAUUAGAACACCCAAACCUGAUGAAGAAAUCAAAGUAGAGCCUACUGUUGCUAUGGUUAAAGAUCUCUUGGAAGAAGAUAUAGAUGGGCAUGUUAUUUUUCGGUAAUGAAGCUACUAGAAUUGUCAAACCCGAUAAAAAAGAUAAUCAUAGACCCGUUGUUGGCAUGCCCGUUGUCUCAGUUAAAAUAGGAGAUCACUGUUAUCAUGGUUUAUGCGACAUAGGUGCUAGCGUAAGUGCUAUUCCUUACACCUUAUAUCAAGAAAUUAUGAAUGAUAUAGCACCCGCAGAGUUAGAAGACAUAGAUGUUACUAUUAAACUUGCUAAUAGAGACACUAUUUCACCAAUUGGGAUUGUUAGAGAUGUUGAAGUCUUGUGUGGGAAAAUAAAAUACCCUACUGAUUUUCUUGUUCCUGGUUCCCCACAAGAUGACUUUUGUCCCAUUAUCUUUGGUAGACCUUUCUUGAACACCGUUAAUGCUAAAAUAGAUUGUGAGAAACAAACUGUCGGUGUUAGUUUUGGUGAUGAGUCUCAUGAGAUUAAUUUUUCCAAGUUUAGUAGAAAGCUUCAUGAAAAAGAAUUGCCUAGUAAGGAUGAAAUAAUUGGUCUUGCUUCUAUUGCUGUGCCUCCGACUGAUCCACUAGAACAAUAUUUGCUAGACCAUGAAAAUGAUUUACUUAUGCAUGAAAGAAAUGAAAUAGAUAAGAUUUUAUUUGAACAACGUCCUCUGCUUAAACACAAUUUGUCUAUUGAAACUCUAGGAGGUCCCCCUCCAUCUAAAGGUGAUCCCGUGUUUGAAUUAAAACAAUUGACAGACACUUUGAAAUAUGCUUAUCUUGAUGAAAAGAAGAUAUAUCCUGUUAUUAUUAGUGCUAACCUUUCAGAACAUGAAGAAGAAAGAUUAUUGAAAGUUCUAAGGAAGCACCGAGCUGCUAUUGGAUAUACCCUUGAUGAUUUAAAGGGGAUUAGUCCUACUCUAUGUCAGCACAAGAUUAAUAUGGAACCUGAUGCUAAACCCGUUGUUGAUCAUUAACGCCGAUUAAAUCCGAAGAUGAAAGAAGUGGUAAGAACAGAAAUAUUAAAACUUCUGGAAGGAGGUAUAAUCUAUCCUAUAGCUGAUAGUAGAUGGGUAAGUCCCGUUCAUUGUUUUCCUAAGAAAGGAGGUAUUACUGUUAUUCCUAAUGAUAAGAAUGAACUUAUUCCACAAAGAAUUGUUACAGGCUAUAGAAUGGUAAUUGAUUUUAGGAAAUUAAACAAAGCAACUAGAAAAGUUCAUUACCCCCUGCCUUUUAUUGAUCAAAUGCUAGAAAGAUUGUUAAAGCACACACACUUUUGCUUUCUUGAUGGAUAUUUUGGUUUUUCACAAAUACCUGUUUCUCAACCUGAUCAAGAAAAGACCACUUUCACUUGUCCCUUUGGAACUUAUGCUUAUAGACGUAUGCCUUUCGGUUUAUGCAAUGCACCUGCUACCUUUCAAAGAUGUAUGACUGCUAUAUUCUCUGACUUUUGUGAGAAGAGUGUCGAGGUUUUCAUGGAUUACUUUUCCGUUUAUGGGAAGUCUUUUGAUGAUUGUUUAAGCAAUCUUGAUCGAGUUUUGCAGAGAUGCGAGCAAACAAAUCUUGUCUUGAAUUGGGAAAAGUGCCACUUUAUGGUUAAUGAAGGUAUUGUUUUGGGCCAUAAAUUUCUGAAAGAGGUAUUGAAGUGGACAAAGCUAAGGUUGAUGCAAUUGAGAAAAUUCCAUGUCCUAAAGAUAUCAAAGGUAUUCGUACUUUCCUAGGUCAUGCUGGUUUCUAUAGGAGAUUUAUCAAAGACUUCUCUAAAAUUUCUAGGCCUCUUACAAAUCUUUUGCAAAAGGAUGUUCCUUUUGUUUUUGAUGAUGAUUGUUUAGAAGCCUUCGAAACACUCAGGAAAGCCUUAAUUUCUGCACCUCUUUUUCAACCACCUGAUCGGAACUUGUCUUUUGAAAUUAUGUGUGAUGCUAGUGAUUAUGCUGUUGGUGCUGUUCUAGGACAAAGAUUUGAUAAGAAACUGAAUGUUAUUCAUUAUGCUAGUAAAACUCUAGACAAUGCUCAAAGAAAUUAUGCUACUACUGAAAAAGAAUUUCUAGCAGUGGUGUUUGCUUGUGAUAAAUUUGGAUCUUACAUUGUUGACUCCAAAGUUAUUGUUCACACCGAUCAUGUUGCUAUUAAAUAUCUUAUGGAAAAGAAAGAUGCUAUACCUAGACUUAUUCGAUGGGUUCUCUUGCUACAAGAAUUUGAUUUACAUAUUACUGAUGGAAAAGGAACUAAGAACCCAGUAGCUGAUAACUUGUCUAGGCUUGAAAAUGUGCUUGAUGACCCACUACCUAUUGAUGAUAGUUUUCCUGAUGAGUGAUACGUCACCAACGUAUCUAUAAUUUAUGAAGUAUUCAUGCUAUUAUUUUAUCAUUAUUGGAUGUUUUACAAUCAUUUUAUUGCAAAUUUAUAUCAUUCUUUGGGACUAACCUAUUGACCCAGUGCCCAGUGCCAGUUGCUAUUUUUUGCUUGUUUUUUACAUUGCAAGAAAUCAAUAUCAAACGGAGUCCAAACACCGCAAAACUUUUUGGAGAUUUUUUUGGGCCAGAAGACAUCCAUUGGGCCAAAGAAGCACCUGGGGGGGGGGGUGCCCCGAGGGGGGCACAACCCACAAGGGCGCGCCAAGCCCCCCUGGCGCCCCCAGGUGGGUUGUGCCCACCUCGGUGGCCUCCCGCACCCCUUCUUUGCACUAUAAAUUCCAAAAUAUUUUGAAACCCAUCGGGGUUACCCUAGAUCAGAAGUUCUGCCACCGCAAGGUCCUGUAUCCGCGAAAACCAAUCUAGACCUCGUUCCGGCACCCUGCCGGAGGGGGGAAUCAUCUCCGAUGGCCAUCUUCAUCAACCCGGCGGCCACCACGUGAGGAGGGAGUAGUCCACCCUCGGGGCUGAGGGUUUGUACCAGUAGCUAUGUGUUUAAUCUCUCUCUCUCUCGUGAUCUAUAUCAUGGGCUUUGUUAAUAUAGUCGGAUCAUAUGAUGUUUCUAGCCUCUAUACUCUUGUUAUGAUGAAUUGAAUCUCUACCCUUCAAAGUUUUGUCUUGUCGGAUUGAAUAUUCAGAGAUGAGAACACAUGAUAUAUGUCUUGCAAUAUGAAUAAUUGAGGUGACAAUGGGGUAUCAUAUUUAUUCACUUGAUGUAUGUUAUGGCACUCAACUUGCGGAUUCCCGAGGUGACAUUGGGGUAAUCUAUGCAUAGGGGUUGAUGCACGUUUUUAUUAUCUUUUCUCCGAUAGAAACUUUGGGGUCUCUUUGUAGUUCUUUGUGUGGAUUGAGUAUUAUGAACAUGAAUUUGCUUUGGUGUUAUUUUAGUACGAACUCUUGAUUAGAUCGAUCAGAAAUAAUAGCUUGCGUUAUUUUAGUACAAACUAUAGGAUAGAUUGAUCGAAAAGAAUAGCUUUGAAGUGGUUUUGUACCCUACAAACAAUUUCUAUCUUUUGUUCUCCGCUAAUAGGAACUCUAGAGUGAUUCUUUAUUGCACUUUGAGGGAUAAUCAUAUGAUCCAACUAUGUUAGCACUGUUGAGAGGUUGCACUAGUGAAAGCACAGAUCCUAGGCCUUGUUUUCAAGCAUUGCAAUACCAUUUUUGUGCUCAUUUACUAUUUGCUACCUUGUUGUUUUUAUUUAUUCAGAUUUAAAAAUAUAUUUAUACCAUCAAUAUUACACUUUUAUCACCAUCUCUUCGCCGAACUAGUGCACCUAUACAAUUUACCAUUGUAUUGGGUGUGUUGGGGACACAAGAGAUUUCUUGUAUUUGGUUGCAGGGUCGUUUGAGAGAGACCAUCUUCAUCCUACGCCUCCCAUGGAUUGAUAAACCUUAGGUCAUCCACUUGAGGGAAAAUUGCUACUGUCCUACAAAACUCUGCGCUUGGAGGCCCAACACAUGUCUACAUGAAUAAAGUUGCAUAGUAGACAUCAAGCUCUUUUCUGGCGCCGUUGCCGGGGAGGUGAGUGCUUGAAGGUAUAUCUUUAGAUCUUGCAAUUGAAUCUUUUAGUUUCUUGUUUCAUCACUAGUUUGGUGUAUAAAAGAAAACUACAAAAAAAUGGAAUUUAGGUUGCAUCAUAUUAUUGAUCCUCUUUAUAAUAUCUUUCUUGAAAACGAUGCAUCGGAAAAUUGUGCUCAAUUGUUAGAAGAAGAAGUCAAUAAAAUGCUUGGCACAAAAUAUUUGGAUGAUUAGCAUGAUUGCAAUGUUAUUAGUAUGAAUUAUUUGAAUAUCCAAAAUGCUAAUGAUGAUUGCACAAGUCAUGACAAAAAUGUUUCUUAUAAGCAUGUCACUUUUUGUGGAGUGAAUUGGGAGUGCCUUUGCACACCAAAAAGGGGAGAUAUAUUUUGUAAGAAGCAUACAUAUUUAGAAACAAAAAUGUUGCAAGAGAGGUUAGAUGAUUGUGCUGAAAGAUGUAGUUUUUUGGCCAUCCUUGUGAACUUUGCAUCUCUUUAUGAUGGUAAUUUAAAUCUUCAAUGCAGAUUCUUUCAUGAUCAAAUAGUGUCCAAAAAUUAUGAUAACUUGAUUACCCUUGAGCAUCAUAAAGAGCUUAGUCUUCUUUUGGGGUAUGAAGAAAUUAAAUGUAUAACUAAGGAUUUUCCAAAUCCUAAGAGAUUUCUUGAUUUUGAUCUAGAAGAAAUUUAUAUGUUUUGUGCGGUAAAUUGCAUUGAGAAUCCUUAUAUUGCCAACUACCUAAAGACAAGAAAACAAAUGGAAUAUGAAGAGAGUACUAAUGAAAGGGGAAGUAUUUCCCAAUACCUUCCUAGUGUUUCUUAUGAUGAAUCAGGUAACAUGGAGGAACUUCCUAUCCAAUCAAUCUCUUCAACAAGGAGCUCGAAAAAAUUAAUUGAACCCAUACAUGAUGUGGUGAAGAAGAUGAAAAGAAGAAAGAAGAGAGGUAAAAAGGUAUCUCUCCCGAAUAAUGUUGCUCCUAUUAUUGUUGUACCUCAUGAAAAUGAAUCAAAAAUAAUUGUGGAAGAUGAUGUACUUGAUGAUGAUAUUGCUUCUAUGUCUUACGGCACAAUGACCGAGAGCACUUUUGAUGAUGAUUUUACUAUGCCUAUUGCUUGUUUUGAUGAUUAUGAUUGGGAAUAUAAUGAUACUUCUUAUAAUCUUGGAAAUCUUUUUGGAACCAACUUGGGAAAUUAUGAUGAUAGCAAUUGUUAUACCGUUGGUGCUAUUCAUACUAUUAAUGAUGAGAGUGAUUAUGCUUAUGAUAUGCCAAGCCACAAGCUUGGGAUGCUUUGUUUGAUGAUAAUGACAUGUUUGAUUAUGAUGACAUGUUUGAUUAUGCUUAUGAUUUGCUGCAAUUAAUGUUUGUCCCAAGCUUGGGGAGGCUAUGCUUAAUGAAGAUGAUCUUUUUAGUUCACUUACUUUGAAUGAUCAAAUUUGCUAUGAUGAUUGCAUGCCUCCUACUUAUGAUGAUUAUUGUGAUGAUACUUAUGUGAUUAAAAGUUGUGAUAAUUAUUGUCAUGAUUUUGAUUAUACCUUUGCUGAACAUUACUCUUUUAAUGUGGAAACAAUUUAUAGUAUUCGAGCUUCCUAUGAUACUCCCACUAUUAUGAAUGAGAAUAGAAUUGCUUAUAUGGAGAGUAAUAAAUUUUCUAUGCUUGUGGAUCAUGAAAAGAAUGUUUUAUGUGAUGGUUAUAUUGAUGAAUCUAUUCAUGAUGCUACUGAAAAUUAUUAUGAGAGAGGAACUUAUGCUUCAUGAUGCUCUUGUUAUGUUUCAAUUCUUAUCUUUUAUGCGAGCAUCAUUGAAAUCAUCAUGCCUAGCUUAAAAGGCAUUAAAGAAAAGCGCUUGUUGGGAGACAACCCAACACUUUUACCUACUGUUUUUGUGUGUUCACAUGAUUAUUCUACUGUAUUGAUCAUGUUUUAUUGCUUUGUUUCAAUAAAGUGCCAAGUAAAGCCUUUGGGAUCAUGUUGGGUGAUAGUUGAGUUGAUCUUGCUGAAAAACAGAAACUUAUGCGCUCACAAAAAAAAUCUAGUUUAUAACAGAAGAGUGAUUUUGAGUUGAUUCUUUUUGCAGAAGAUUAACAUACAAAUUUCUCACGUAUUCUAAAUUUUUCAGAGUUUUUGGAAUAGCAGAAGUAUGGUUAUUCUACAGAUCAUUACAGACUGUUCUAUUUUUGACAGAUUCUGUUUUCAAUGCAUAGUUUGCUUGCUUUCUAGUUUCUAUGGCUUAUAUUGCUCAAUAUAAAUUGUGGAAAUAAUAUGCCAAAGUAGGCAUUGUGUGAGAACAAUUAUGAAUCUUGUCUUUGACAGUACCAAAGUGAAAUGGUUUGCUCUUUACCAUACUAACCUAUCUCACAAAGUUCCGUCAAGUUUUGUGUGAUUGAAGUUUUCAAGUUUUGGGUGAGAUAUCGAUAUGAGGAGAAUAAGGAGUGACAAGACCCUAUGCUUGGGGAUGCAGAAGGCACCCCCAAGGUAAUAUUCAAGGAAGAUCCAAGCAACUAAGCUUGGGGAUGCCCCGGAAGGCAUCCCCUCUUUCGUCUCCAACAGUAUCGUUAACCUCACUUGGAGCUAUGUAUUCAUUCGUCACAUGGUAUGUGUUUUACUUGGAGCAUCAAUUUAUUUUUUUAUUAUUUGCUUGAUGUUAUAUAAAAUAUUGUUUUGCAUCUUUUAUUUCAAUAAAAAUGUCAAGGAUAGCCUUUACCACGCUUAUUUUACAAGUCUACAUGUUGCUGUUUGAAAACAGAAAGUUUACCGCUGUUGCAAAAAUUCCCUAGAAAAGUCAGAAUGUGAUAAAAUGUUGAAACUUUUUGCAUAUUAAGCUCUGAUAAAUUUUCUACAGUGUGGUAAAAUUUUCAUAAUUUUUGGAGUUAGGGAAGUUUGAUGAAUCUUGCAUUCUUUACAGACUGUACUGUUUUGGCAGAUUGCUGUUAUGUUUGCAUUGUUUGCAUAUGUUUGCUUGUUUAAUGAUUCUAUUUGAGGAUAGGAGUAUUAAAUAUGCAGAGGCAUUUAGUAUGCGAUGUUGAAUAAUAAUUUUAGUGAUUUGCUACAGUAGAUAAAUGAUAAGGUUUUUGCAUUAGUUUAUACUAACUUAUCUCACGAGUUCUUGUUGAGUUUUGUGUGGGUGAAGCUUUUGAGAUUUAGGAAAACCGUGAUAUGAAAGGAAUUAAGGAGACACAAAAGCUCAAGCUUGAGAAUGCCCAAGGCAUCCCAAGAUAAUAUUUCAAGAAGUCUCAAGCAUCUAAGCUUGGGGAUGCCCCAGUAGACAUCCCACCUUUCUUCUUCAACAAUUAUCGGUUAGUAUCGGUUGAACCUAAGUUUUUGCUUCUUCACAUGAUGUGUGCUAUUCUUGGAAUGUCAUUUUGUUUUGUUUUUGCUUGCUGUUUUAAUAAAAUGUUUAGAUCUAUACGUUUUUGAAUAAGAGAGAGCCCUCAAAUAGCUACCUAUUUGCUUAACUACUCGCAUGAUCUUCACUUAUAUCUUUUUGGAGUAGUUUGUCAUUUACUCUUGUGCUUCACUUAUAUCCUAUGAGUAAAUUGUUGAAUAAGUUGAAUGUUAUGAAGUUGAAAUUAUAUCAUGCCUAGUGAUAGCUUCAUGUUGGGUUUAGAAAAUGAAAUCUUUUGAGGCUUGACAAUCACAAUAUUGGUCAUACAAGCAUGUGACGCCCCCGAUUCAAUCGUACACUAAUCAUACACGCAAACGUGUACGAUCAAGAUCAGGGACUCACGGGAAGAUAUCACAACACAACUCUAAAAAUAAAAUAAGUCAUACAAGCAUCAUAAUACAAUCCAGGGGCCUCGAGGGCUCGAAUACAAGUGCUCGAUCAUAGAUGAGUCAGCGGAAGCAACAAUAUCUGAGUACAGACAUAAGUAAACAAGUUGCCAUAAGAUGGCUAGCACAAACUGGGAUACAGAUCGAAAGAGGCGCAGGCCUCCUACCCGGGAUCCUCCUAAACUACUCCCUGUCGGCGCCAGCGGCCUACACGUAGUAGUAGGCACCUCCGGUGUAGUAGGAGUCGUCGUCGACGGUGGCGUCUGGCUCCUGGGCUCCAGCAUCUGGUUGUGACAACCAGGUAGAAGGGAAAGGGGAAAAGAGGGAGAAAAGCAACCGUGAGUACUCAUCCAAAGUACUCGCAAGCAAGGAUCUACACUACAUAUGCAUGGGUAUAUGUGUAAAGGGGCCAUAUCGAUGGAUUGGACUGCAGAAUGCCGGAAUAAGAGGGGGAUAGCUAGUCCUGUCGAAGACUACGCUUCUGGCAGCCUCCAUCUUGCAGCAUGUAUAAGAGAGUAGAUGGUAAGUUCACCAAGUAUCAUCGUAUAGCAUAAUCCUACCCGGCGAUCCCCUCCUCGUCGCCCUGUUAGAGAGCGAUCACCGGGUUAUAUCUGGCACUUGGAAGGGUGUGUUUUAUUAAGUAUCCAGUUCUAGUUGUCAUAAGGUCAAGGUACAACUCCAAGUCGUCCUGUUACCGAAGAUCACGACUAUUCGAAUAGAUAAACUUCCCUGCAGGGGUGCACCACAUAACCCAACACGCUCGAUCCCAUUUGGCCGGACACACUUUCCUGGGUCAUGCCUGGCCUCAGAAGAUCAACACGUCGCAGCCCCACCUAGGCACAACAGAGAGGUCAGCACGCCGGUCUAAAUCCUAUGGCGCAGGGGUCUGGGCCCAUCGCCCAUUGCACACCUGCAUGUUGCGAGGGCGGCCGGAAGCAGACCUAGCCUAGAAGGCGUUCCAGUCCAAUCCGGCGCGCGCCGCUCAGUCGCUGACGUCACGAAGGCUUCGGCUGAUACCAUGACGUCGAGUGCCCAUAAUUGUUCCCGCGUAGUUGGUUAGUGCGUAUAGACCAAAUGGCCAGACUCAGAUCAAAUACCAAGAACUCGUUAAGCGUGUUAUUUUGAAGUAACCACGGACGCCGACCAGGGCCAGGCCCACCUCUCUCCUAGGUGGUCUCAACCUGCCCUGUCGCUCCGCCACAAAGUAACAGUCGGGGGCCGUUGGGAACCCAGGCCCACCUCUACCGGGAUGGAGCCACCUGCCCCUUCAGCCCCCAUCUCCGAACAGUAUCAUAAGUAAUGUAACAGUAUAAAGUAUAUAGCAUAUGCCCGUGAUCACCUCCCGAAGUGAUCACGGCCCAGUAGUAUAGCAUGGUAGACGGACAAGAGUGUAGGGCCAUUGAUGGAAUACUAGCAUCCUAUUCUAAGCAUUUAGGAUUGCAGGUAAGGGUAACAACUGUAGCAACAAUGACAGGCUAUGCAGUAGAAUAGGAUUAACGGAAAGCAGUAACAUGCUACACUACUCUAAUGCAAGCAGUAUAGAGAAGAAUAGGCGAUAUCUGGUGAUCAAGGGGGGGCUUGCCUGGUUGCUCUGGCAAGAAGGAGGGGUCGUCAACACCAUAGUCGUACUGGGUAGCAGCGGCGUCGGUCUCGGGGUCUACCGGAGAAGAAAAGGGGGAAGAAACAGUAAAUAAGGAGCAAACAAAGCAUCACAAAACAUAAUGAGGCAAUACGCGGUGCUAGGUACGCCCUAGCGUGGUACUAGGCGAUGCCGGCGAAGGGGGGAAACAUCCGGGAAAGUAUUCCCGGUGUUUCACGUUUUUGGACAGAUGAACCGGAGGGGGAAAGUUGCGAGUUUUCUAUGCUAGGGAUGUGUGACAGACGAACGGGCUACGUAUCCGGAUUCGUCUCGUCGUUCUGAGCAACUUUCAUGUACAAAGUUUUUUCAUCUGAGCUACCGAUUAUUUUAUAUCUUUUUUCAAAGUUUCUAAAAGAUUUUUAAUUUCUGGAUUUAGUUUAAUUCGAAAUUAAGUUAGUAUGUAAAUGCUAUGGGUACACAGAAAGUGUACCCAGAAGUGUGCACCUGAGGCUGACAGGUGGGGACAGUUGACUAAGUCAUCUGCCCAGUCAGUAGAAGCUGACAGGUGGGGCAGGGGGUGCUGACUCAGCGGUCAAUAGGUCAACAUUGACCAGUCAAACUGGCAGGUGGGGACCACCCGUCAGUGACACAUGUAUUUAGCAGGUAUUUAUUUUAAAUUUUCUCUAAUUAGUUGGCCGGGCCCACAUGUCAUACUCCAGUUUAUUAAUACAUUUGUUUUGAAAGCAGGGUUAGUUUAGCGGGUGGGCCCCUGACGUCAGUGAAUGUUUAAGGCAGAUUAGUGACUAACGACAGCCACAUCACUGUAUUAGCACCGGCGAUGAGCUGCAGAACGGUAGCGGCAUAGGAGCUCGCUGGAAACGGCGUACGAGGAGCCGUUCACGGCGCGGAUGGUUCCAUUCGAACACCUACGCGACGGCGUAUCACAUGGUGGUGGUGGCACAGCCGGGGGUGGUCGGUGUCGACCGAUAUGACGGCGGCCGACGGCAACAGAAGGCGGGCGAGACAGGAAGCAGUGGGCCAAGGUAUGCGCGCGUGAGCGAGGCCCAACGUGGCUGAGUGCGUGCGCGCGAGGCAGGACGCGGGGUAGUGGCCGGGCGCGGAUGCGGAGCAGCAGCGGUCAGUGCGGGAGCGAGGCAAGCGGCGCUGCCGUGCGGGGUGGCGUGGCCAGGGAAGGCGGGCGCGCGGCGCAGUCUUCGCGGGGGCGAGGUAGCGGAGAGGGGAAGAGGUGGCCGAGGGCCUCACCGCGGGCCGUAGGGGAAUGGCAGCGAUUGUCGGGGAGGAAGACGGGGACGACGUGCGACGGGGCGGCGCCGGUGCGGUGGCUCCAGAGACGGCGAUUGGUGAUGGGGCGCAGCGUGGCUUGGGGAGGCUGUCGAGGAGGAGGUCAAGGAGGUCCGGCGUGGGGAGGAGACGGGGAGGCGACGACGAAGACGAGCGACGCCGGCGACGAGNNNNNNNNNNNNNNNNNNNNNNNNNNNNNNNNNNNNNNNNNNNNNNNNNNNNNNNNNNNNNNNNNNNNNNNNNNNNNNNNNNNNNNNNNNNNNNNNNNNNNNNNNNNNNNNNNNNNNNNNNNNNNNNNNNNNNNNNNNNNNNNNNNNNNNNNNNNNNNNNNNNNNNNNNNNNNNNNNNNNNNNNNNNNNNNNNNNNNNNNNNNNNNNNNNNNNNNNNNNNNNNNNNNNNNNNNNNNNNNNNNNNNNNNNNNNNNNNNNNNNNNNNNNNNNNNNNNNNNNNNNNNNNNNNNNNNNNNNNNNNNNNNNNNNNNNNNNNNNNNNNNNNNNNNNNNNNNNNNNNNNNNNNNNNNNNNNNNNNNNNNNNNNNNGGGGAGAGGAGAGACGUGGGGAGUGGGGGGGGGGAAGUGUGCGGUCGUGGGGGGUUAGGGUUUCCCCCUGGUGGGGAUAGGGUGGGGGGUUGGGCCGGUUGGUGGGCUGGCCGGCUGGGCCGUCUGGCCUAGUUGGCCAGGGGGGUUCUUUUCUUUUAUUUUUGCUUUCUGUUUGUUCCUUUUCCUUUUAUUUAUAUUAACUUUUCUGUUAUAGUUUUGUUUCCUAUUAUUUUAGUUUUAGUAAAAUAUACACUUAGUAUCUAAAUUAGUAUUUCAACUUAGUCCAUAGUCAAAAAGUCUAGUCCUCAAAUAAAUUAGUUUGACAUUUUACUAAUUAUAAAAGGUAUUUAAAUAUUUGUUUUGUUGUUGUUUUAUUCAUCUCAUAGUACUUAAAUAUUUUAUAAAGGUGUGGUUUCUCCACCAUAAUUAUCUAUGCAAUAUUUGGUUCACUCCGAACAUUUUACUUUUAAUUUUUGAAAACCUUUACCAUUUGACUUGAUUUUUGAAUUUGAAUUUGAAUCGAUGCCGAAUCAACGCGGGUUUAUCAACAGUAACCGAGGUGACGUGGCAUCAUUAGCGUGGGAUUACUGUAGCUUAAUUAUCCGGGCGUCACAAUUCUCCUCCACUACAAGAAAUCUCGUCUCGAGAUUUAAGAGGUAGAGUAAGGGGAAAGAUGUGGCUACGAAAUUCUAUCGAGUCUUCUCGGUCUUGGUUGCUCUUCUCGAAGAGGUCGAUCCAUUACAUUGAUGUCUUCAUUCCACUACUUCAGGUCAUCAUUAUGAAGUCGUCAUCCUUUCUUCGGGGGUUCCUUCGUACUUACGAAUAAGUAAGGGGUAGCUCGGCUACGACAUAAUGCUUAGGAGGGAAACAAUCUGGGGUUAACCCAUGAAUGAGCAUAAGAUUAUCUCUCAAGUUGAACAUAUAAAAUACAUCGAGAGUAAGGUACGAAGGUACAAUAAGAGGUUCCAAGCAGAUAGAUAGUUGCUCGAAGUCUGAACCAGAGUGAGAAAGGGGUUUCAGAGCAGCGAGAGUAAGUAUUGCGUCUGAUACCAGAAUAGAUCACUUGGCAUGUGGCCCAUGAAUUACAUAAGAAGUCAAGCACGAGGAAUAACUUUGACAACAGGGUGUACAUGAGAGUCAGGUUUCGAUCCUGGGACCUGGGGUUACGGGCCCACCAUGCAGGUUAAAAUUAGAAAAGGCGCUAACUUCUUGCACGGUCAGGAUGGCAGUGUAUGUCAGAGGCUAGCCCGUCAGCCAUGUUGGCAACAAUCGUUGGUACUAAGGGCGAGGGACGAAGAAAACCAUUUUCCUGCUCGUUGAACGAGGCGGACCAAUAGGCAAAGUUCUCGUCCAUCGGUGGUUACCGGAAUGUCAUCAACAAAAGUAACAGGGUCUUACUGACAGAGUGGUACAACGAGGUGUUUAUAUAAGCAAGGAAAUAUUACUGCUUAUAUAAUAUAGAUCACAAGAAGGUUUAAACAAACCAAUGGAAACGAAAAGUGAUUAUCAGGUUUAAACAGAACAAUGGAAAGGAAAAUGUGUAUACACACAUAUCUCAGGGGUAUAUCCUUCCCAAGGACAAGCAGAGCAUGAUAUCCUUGGCAGGAUAUAAUGUAGAAAACUCUUUAGGAAAGGGGAGAGAAAUUUCAUGACAUUAUCCAUGCAACGGUGUUUGGAUAAUUGAGCAAGUAACAUUUAGCAUUGGGCUUCAAAUGUUCUUGUUGAAAAUCGGAGCACCACAGACAUGCUUCGAGAUAGCAUUGACAAGGUCUUCAAGCAAAGGUCAGACUUUGGAUACACAAAGGAUCCAUCAGGAUAAACUUAUUAAACAAGGCAUUCAAUUUCCUCACGGAAAAAAUGGUUAACCUUGUUAAGAAGGAAACUAUAACAAAAGGUCCUCUGGCUAGGGGUGCUAAGCAAAGACACCACCUUACCAGGUUAUGUAGAGACCAAUGUUAUAACUCUUGGAAAUAUGUCCCAACCAUCAUAUCUGACCGAGAUUCAGAUCUGAUUGGUCUCAGGAUACCUCAGACAUCAGGAUGCCUGAGAAGAAAAGGUGCAACACAAUUUGACGAGAUGACAUUGUGAGAUUCUCGGAAAUGAUCUAGGGAAGCGAGUUCUGAAACAAGAGUUUGUCAUUAAACCAAGGAGAGGAUGAGGAGGUGGCUGAUGGACUCAGCGACCAUUCAUUGAGAUUUCCAAAAAGAUGGAUUUCCACAAUUAUGAGAACAAGGAGAUAAGAUUUGUCAGAUCAAGUGAUAUAAUGAGGUAUGCUCGAGGAAAACAUACACAAUUAAACAUUGGUUGAAAGGUGCGCCCGAAAUAUGGGUUGGGUUGCACGACCAAUGUUAGAAUGGUGAUUCAAUAAUCAAUUGUCUAAGAAUGAAUGGCCGACCAUUGACUUCAAAGCAAUAGGGUUGCUAGAAGGGCAGAAUCUAAACAGCACUGUUCACUUGUUGGUACCCCGGUUCGAAUCAACACGAGGACCAAGAAAGAAUGGUGAUGGUGAGAAGUAUCACUGUACCAAGAAUUCUUAAGAGGUGGAGUAAUCCUCACGACAUUCUUGACAUAAAAGAUGGUAAUACUCCAAGGUAAGGAAGAACAAUUGCUGUAUAGCAUGGAUCUCAAGGUAUAACACGAAACACGAACAAGUUUGUGUUGAACGGAAGGCAAUAAAGUGGUUGAUGAUAAUACAAAUCAUCGAGGGCAAGGAUGGUAUUUCUCUUCAUGAAUUCAAUUGAUAUCCUGGAAGAGCUCAAAAUGUUGAUGAUGAUCACGACACAAUUGUCGAGAGAUUUCACGAAGAAGCAAUCAAACAGCGAUGACAUCAAGAAAAAAAACAAUGGUGAAGCGAAGGGUCAUCGGAACCACUGAUACGACACACACUUGGAAUCAAGCUUGAUGUUUAAGGCGGAAUGAUAAGACGAGGAAGAUCGACGUAAGCUUGGCUCAUCGUCAAAAGUUGUGCUCCGGGAAUAAGGACUAGGUAGCACAAUUAAAAUUUAGCAUGAUAAUGAUAUAGCCGAUUAGGAUUGGGAUGACUUGAAGGAUUAUUAAACUCGUAAGCAAUGAAAAUUACUUAGAGUUAUUGAAUCAGAUUGCGGAAUCGGUUCACUUACCGGUGUUCUUGAGCGACUAACUCAGAACCCAUGAAAAAUUGGAAUCAGUGAGAAAUAAUAGCUGAUGGAGACUCAUAAGAUGCAACACAGUUCUUAGAUAUUCUCGAGAUACCAGAGGGUAAAACUCGACGGUAGAUCAAGGUAGAGGUUGGACUGGUGUAUUGACUUGCAAAAGACAAGUGUUUUAACUUGUCCGAGAAAUGGGAUCAACGAGAAAAUAUGGCCGGAACCACGAUUGCAUAGGAUCAGUUCAUAGAUACCAGAUGAUAUUAUAUCAACGAAAUAGUUAUUAUUACAAGAAGCUUCUAUGGUAGGAUCUACAUCGUGUCCAUGGGCAUGAACACAAAGUUCAAGGUCGACUCCUACUUCUUCAAUGUAUAACCUUCCAUUCACCUCUCACUUUCGAAGAAGUUGUGGUGUUGAAAUUUUAUCUAGAAAAACAGCAGAAGAGUAUGACUCGUGAAAACUUUCGAGUUCACACAUAUUAGGCAUAGGUUCAACCCGUCAGGGUAUCGUGGAAACAUAUACCACAAGCUUCAAUAGUAAAUAACACAAGCUCGAUAGUAGAGCAUGGUUGACAAAAACAGAGGAUACAAUUUACCUAAGGCAUUAGGUAUCAGGGAAAGAACUUCUCGAGGUUUUUGUAUACGAAGGACGAUGUCGGAUGAUAUUUCAACAAAUGAUCCGACGGUCCAUAGUGGAGCUGAUGUGAGCAUCGGCACACAACCAGAGGAAGAAACAAUGCGAAGGCAUUAGAUUAUAGAACCAAAUGACUAAUUCAAAGUUUAAUUGCCAUGGAAUUAUGAUUUCCAAAUCAAGGGAUCAGAAGCAAACGCUCUAAUUUAGGAUGGAUAAGCUGAGCCGGCUUAGGGGUACAAUCGACGGCAAUUUGAUUGGUCGAGAACUAGCUCCAGUUAAAAAUGACGGCUGAGCCGGAAAGAUAAUUUAUAAGGAUCAACUGAUGAUUGCGGACAUUCGCAACAUAUUGAAUCAAGGAACUCAAAAUGAUAAUGACAAAGGAUGACAAUUAGAUUACCAGACUUAUGGUAAACCAUAUUGCAAGCAAGAAUUUGAAGAGCAAUAGGCUGUUGGGGAUUUUCGGAAAAUCGAAUGGCAUUUCAAAAACAUUUGUGAAAUACAGGAAUCAACUGUGGAUGAACGGAUACUCGAUAAGUGUGAGGAAUUAUCCGUAGGGGUAUUCAAAUGGUGAAGAACUGCAAGGCAGUAAACUCAGAGAAUUCUCGGGACAACAGAGAGUAUUUCGGGGCAUCUUGUAAUAACAAGAUCAACGGGGAAUGAUUGUAUGAAUGGCAAGUGUAUGCAGUUUUCAUAGGGGUUGACGGUGGAAGGAAAUCGCAAAUGCGAUGGCACAAAGACUCGAGAGCACAUCGUAGAGUAUCUUCGGAAUCUUCUGGUGCAGCAGGCGGUUAUCGGUAACAAGGGGCUCUCCGGGUGGAAGUGAUCAUGGGAUCCUAAUGUUCGAGUUAGCAAAAUUCAUUUAACCCGAAUAGAAGAGAGAUUAGAGUCCCAGAGUAUAGACAAGGAGUAAAAGAUCCUAAUACCACCCAAUGGCGACGUGGGCCCAUAAGGCACACAACCAUGUUAGUAAAAACAAUUUUCAUCGACUAGACUCGACUUCGGCCAAGGAGUGUGGAAGGGGGAUUCCUACAGGCAGUCGGCUCUGAUACCAACUUGUGACGCCCCCGAUUCAAUCGUACACUAAUCAUACACGCAAACGUGUACGAUCAAGAUCAGGGACUCACGGGAAGAUAUCACAACACAACUCUAAAAAUAAAAUAAGUCAUACAAGCAUCAUAAUACAAGCCAGGGGCCUCGAGGGCUCGAAUGCAAGUGCUCGAUCAUAGAUGAGUCAGCGGAAGCAACAAUAUCUGAGUACAAACAUAAGUAAACAAGUUGCCAUAAGAUGGCUAGCACAAACUGGGAUACAGAUCGAAAGAGGCGCAUGCCUCCUGCCUAGGAUCCUCCUAAACUACUCCCGGUCGCCGUCAGCGGCCUGCACGUAGUAGUAGGCACCUCCGGUGUAGUAGGAGUCGUCGUCGAUGGUGGCGUCUGGCUCCUGGGCUCCAGCAUCUGGUUGCGACAACCAGGUAGAAGGGAAAGGGGGAAAAGAGGGAGAAAAGCAACCGUGAGUACUCAUCCAAAGUACUCGCAAGCAAGGAUCUACACUACAUAUGCAUGGGUAUAUGUGUAAAGGGGCCAUAUCGGUGGACUGGACUGCAGAAUGCCGGAAUAAGAGGGGGAUAGCUAGUCCUGUCGAAGACUACUCUUCUGGCAGCCUCCAUCUUGCAGCAUGUAUAAGAGAGUAGAUGGUAAGUUCACCAAGUAUCAUCGUAUAGCAUAAUCCUACCCGGCGAUCCCCUCCUCGUCGCCCUGUUAGAGAGCGAUCACCGGGUUAUAUCUGGCACUUGGAAGGGUGUGUUUUAUUAAGUAUCCAGUUCUAGUUGUCAUAAGGUCAAGGUACAACUCCAAGUCGUCCUGUUACCGAAGAUCACGGCUAUUCGAAUAGAUAAACUUCCCUGCAGGGGUGCACCACAUAACCCAACACGCUCGAUCCCAUUUGGCCGGACACACUUUCCUGGGUCAUGCCCGGCCUCGGAAGAUCAACAUGUCGCAGCCCCACCUAGGCACAACAGAGAGGUCAGCACGCCGGUCUAAAUCCUAUGGCGCAGGGGUCUGGGCCCAUCGCCCAUUGCACACCUGCACGUUGCGAGGGCGGCCGGAAGCAGACUUAGCCUAGCAGGCGUUCCAGUCUAAUCCGGCGCGCGCCGCUCAGUCGCUGACGUCACGAAGGCUUCGGCUGAUACCACGAGUCGAGUGCCCAUAACUGUUCCCGCGUAGUUGGUUAGUGCGUAUAGACCAAAUGGCCAGACUCAGAUCAAAUACCAAGAACUCGUUAAGCGUGUUAUUUUGAAGUAACCACGGACGCCGACCAGGGCCAGGCCCACCUCUCUCCUAGGUGGUCUCAACCUGCCCUGUCGCUCCGCCACAAAGUAACAGUCGGGGGCCGUCGGGAACCCAGGCCCACCUCUACCAGGAUGGAGCCACCUGCCCCUUCAGCCCCCAUCUCCGAACAGUAUCAUAAGUAAUAAUGUAACAGUAUAAAGUAUAUAGCAUAUGCCCGUGAUCACCUCCUGAAGUGAUCACGGCCCAGUAGUAUAGCAUGGCAGACGGACAAGAGUGUGGGGCCACUGAUGGAAUACUAGCAUCCUAUACUAAGCAUUUAGGAUUGCAGGUAAGGGUAACAACUGUAGCAACAAUGACAGGCUAUGCAGCAGAAUAGGAUUAACGGAAAGCAGUAACAUGCUACACUACUCUAAUGCAAGCAGUAUAGAGAAGAAUAGGCGAUAUCUGGUGAUCACGGGGGGCUUGCCUGGUUGCUCUGGCAAGAAGGAGGGGUCGUCAACACCAUAGUCGUACUGGGUAGCAGCGGCGUCGGUCUCGGGGUCUACCGGAGAAGAAGAGGGGGAAGAAACAGUAAAUACGGAGCAAACAAAGCAUCACAAAACAUAACGAGGCAAUACGCGGUGCUAGGUAUGCCCUAACGUGGUACUAGGCGAUGCCGGCGAAGGGGGGAAACAUCCGGGAAAGUAUUCCCGGUGUUUCACGUUUUUGGACAGAUGAACCGGAGGGGGAAAGUUGCGAGUUUGCUAUGCUAGGGAUAUGUGACAGACGAAACGGGCUGCGUAUCCGGAUUCGUGUCGUCGUUCUGAGCAACUUUCAUGUACACAGUUUUUUCAUCCGAGCUACGGAUUAUUUUAUAUGUUUUUUCAAAGUUUCUAAAAGUUUUUCUAAUUUCUGGAUUUAGUUUAAUUCGAAAUUAAGUUAGUAUUUAAAUGCUAUGGGUACACAUAAAGUGUACCCAGAAGUGUGCACAUGAGGCUGACAGGUGGGGACAGUUGACUAAGUCAACUGCCCAGUCAGUAGAAGCUGACAGGUGGGGCAGGGGGUGCUGACUCAGCGGUCAAUAGGUCAACAUUGACCAGUCAAACUGGCAGGUGGGGACCACCUAUCAGUGACACAUGUAUUUAGCAGGUAUUUAUUUUAAAUUUUCUCUAAUUAGUUGCCCGGGCCCACAUGUCAUACUCCAGUUUAUUAAUACGUUUGUUUUGAAAGUAGGGUUAGUUUAGCGGGUGGGCCCCUGACGCCAGUGAAUGUUUAAGGCAGAUUAGUGACUAACGACAGCCACGUCACCGGAUUAGCGCCGGCGACGAGCUACAGAACGGUAGCGGCAUAGGAGCUCGCUGGAAAUGGCGUACGGGGAGCCGUUCACGGCGCGGAUGGUUCCAUUCGAACACCUACGCGACGGCGUAUCGCGUGGUGGUAGUGGCACAGCCAGGGGUGGUCGGUGUCGACCGAUACGACGGCGGCCGGCGGCAACAGAAGGCGGGCGAGACAGGAAGCAGCGGGCCAAGGUACGCGCGCGUGAGCGAGGCCCGACAUGGCUGAGUGCAUGCGCGCGAGGCAGGACGCGGGGUGGUGGCCGGGCGCGGAUGCGGAGCAGCAGCGGUCAGUGCGGGAGCGAGGCAAGUGGUGCUGCCGUGCGGCGUGGCAUGGCCAGGGAAUGCGGGCGCGGGACGCGGUCUUCACGGGGGCGAGGUAGCGGAGAGGGGAUGAGGAGGCCGAGGGCCUCACCGCGGGCCGUAGGGGAAUGGCAGCGAUUGUCGGGAAGGAAGACUGGGACGACGGGCGACGGGACGGCGCCUGUGCGGUGGCUCCGAAGACGGCGAGCGGUGAUGGGGCACAGCGUGGCUCGGGGAGGCCGUCGGGGAGGAGGUCGAGGAGGUCCGGCGUGGGGAGGAGACGGGGAGGCGACGGCGGAGACGAGCGACGCCGGCGACGGGGCGUCAAGGCGAUGGGGGAGUCCGGCGACGGGGUCGGGGCACUGGCGUCGUGGGAGGGUCUGAGCGGGUUCGUCACCGAUCCAGAUCGGAUCGGUAGGGGGAGAGGAGANNNNNNNNNNNNNNNNNNNNNNNNNNNNNNNNNNNNNNNNNNNNNNNNNNNNNNNNNNNNNNNNNNNNNNNNNNNNNNNNNNNNNNNNNNNNNNNNNNNNNNNNNNNNNNNNNNNNNNNNNNNNNNNNNNNNNNNNNNNNNNNNNNNNNNNNNNNNNNNNNNNNNNNNNNNNNNNNNNNNNNNNNNNNNNNNNNNNNNNNNNNNNNNNNNNNNNNNNGUGGGGAGUGGGGGGGAGUGUGCGGUCGUGGGGGGGUUAGGGUUUUCCCCUGGUGGGGAUAGGGAGGGGGGUUGGGCCGGUUGGUGGGCUGGCCGGCUGGGCCGUCUGGCCCAGUUGGCCAGGGGGGUUCUUUUAUUUUGUUUUUGCUUUCUGUUUUGUUCCUUUUCCUUUUAUUUAUAUUAACUUUUCUGUUAUAGUUUUGUUUCCUAUUAUUUUAGUUUUAGUAAAAUAUAUACUUAGUAUCUAAAUAGUAUUUCAACUUAGUCCAUAGUCAAAAAAGUCUAGUCCUCAAAUAAAUUAGUUUGACAUUUUACUAAUUAUAAAAGGUAUUUAAAUAUUUGUUUUGUUGUUGUUUUAUUCAUCUCAUAGUACUUAAAUAUUUUAUAAAGGUGUGGUUUCUCCACCAUAAUUAUCUAUGUAAUAUUUGGUUCACUCCGAACAUUUUAGUUUUAAUUUUUGAAAACCUUUACUGUUGACUUGAUUUUUGAAUUUGAAUUUGAAUCGAUGCCGAAUCAACGCGGGUUUAUCAACAGUAACUGAGGUGACGUGGCAUCAUUAGCAUGGGAUUACUGUAGCUUAAUUAUCCGGGCAUCACAAAGCAAUUCACGAAUAAUUUGUAUAAGGAAGAGAACUUUCACAUGCACAUACACUAUCCUGGAAAUCUUUUGUGAUUGUGAGCCCCCAUCAAAAUAUUAUAUGCCAAAAUUGUUGACGUUGGACAAGGAAGACAACAUAAUGAUUUAUGUUUGCUCAUAUUCACAUAGAAGUCAUAUUGUCAUAGAUCCUUCAACAUUUGGUGUUUGCCCCCCAUCUUUGCUAGCCAAAAAUUCCGCACCAAGUAGAGAUACUACUUGUGCAUCCAAAAACCCUUAAACCCAAAUCUUAUUUUCAAGAGUCCACCAUACCUACCUAUAUGCAGUAUUUCCGUGCCGUUCUAAGCAAAUUUGUAUGUGCCAUCUCUAAUUUACAAAAAAUAAAUUUCUCUUUUGUGUGCUCGUACCGCUCGCGAGGCGGUGAGGGGUGGCCAAUAUUAUCCAUGCUAGACGUGUUAUUCUUACGAUGAGUGUUUAUUCACUUGUCAUUGCACGAGAGUAAGGUAAAGGUUUUAGGGAUGCCCAGUCCCGAAAUUAAAAAUGAAUUUACUUUAUGUUGUCAAAUAACAAAUUCCUUGGAAAGUGUUGGUAUGGAGGGCACCCGUGGAUACGGCUAGCCAUGGAAAGUGAAAGUAUGGUGAAAAAAGGAAUACACUUUAUUUUCUGUUUGGGAACCGCCUAUGACAUAUCUAGCAUGGAAAUUGUUGGGAGCUCUAAGUCGCUUUCGUUGGUGGGAAAAGUAUACCUCUCAAAAUGUUUUUAUCUCUCAAUUUUUGCUUUGAGCUCUGGCACCUCUACAGAUCCCUACUUCCCCCUGCGAAGGGCCUAUCUUUUACUUUUAUGUAUUUACUUUCAUGCAAGAGUCAAAGUUAUUCUCUCUAUUCCUUUUUAUUUUUCUCUUUGGGCAAGCAUCAUGUGCUGAGGAAAGAUCUAGGCACACAUGUCCGGUUGAAUAUGGGUAGCAUGAGUUAUUAUUGUUGACAUCACCCUUGAGGUGAAUACGUUGGGAGGCAAAACAAUAAGCCCCUAUCUUUCUAUGUGUCCGGUUGAAACGUUUUGCUCAUGUGUAUGCGGUGAGUGUUAGCAAUCAUAGAAGACUAUAUGAUGGUUGAGUAUGUGGAGCUCUAACUUAAACUCUGUUGAAUAAGUUGAAUUGCAAUUGCUUGGUGACUGUGAACAUAGGUUGUUGGGUUUCAAGAGAGUUCAUUGUUUAAACCUUAACAUGUGAAUUGGUUGCCACUACAACAUGAGAAAUUUUAUGAGAAAUAAUUACUGUUAUGAUGCUAGGAAAAGUGAGUGAAAUUAUUAUUGAUUAAACUUAUGCACUUUGCUAGCAUUCACACUUCAUAAAUUAUUUGUUUUAUCAUUUACCUUCUCGAGCACGAGCAGGAAUUAAGCCUUGGGAUGCUGAUACGUCUCCAACGUAUCUAUAAUUUAUGAAGUAUUCAUGCUAUUAUUUUAUCAUUCUUGGAUCUUUUACAAUCAUUUUAUAGCAACUUUAUAUCAUUUUUUGGGACUAACCUAUUGUCCCAGUGCCCAGUGCCAGUUGCUGUUUUUUGCUUGUUUUUUACAUCGCAGGAAAUCAAUAUCAAACGGAGUCCAAACACCGCGAAACUUUUUAGAGAUUUUUUUGGGCCAGAAGACAUCCAUUGGGCCAAAGAAGCACCUCGAGGGUGCCCCGAGGGGGGCACAACCCACCAGGGCGCGCCAGGACCCCUGGCACGCCCAGGUGGGUUGUGCCCACCUCGGUGGUCUCCCGCACCCCUUCUUUGUAGUAUAAAUUCCCAAAUAUUCCAAAACCCAUCGGGGUUACCCUAGAUCAGAAGUUCCGCCGCCGCAAGGUCUCUGUAUCCGCGAAAACCAAUCUAGACCCCGUUCCGGCACCCUACCGGAGGGGGAAUAAUCUCCGGUGGCCAUCUUCAUCAUCCAGGCGGCCACCACGAUGAGGAGGGAGUAGUCCACCCUCGGGGCUGAGGGUUUGUACCAGUAGCUAUGUGUUUAAUCUCUCUAUCUCUCUCGUGAUCUAUAUCAUGGGCUUUGUUAAUAUAGUCGGAUCAUAUGAUGUUUCUACCCUCUAUACUCUUGUUAUGAUGAAUUGAAUCUUUACCCUUCAAAGUUUUGUCUUGUCGGUUUGAAUAUUCAGAGAUGAGAACACAUGAUAUAUGUCUUGCAAUAUGAAUACUUGAGGUGACAAUGGGGUAUCAUAUUUAUUCACUUGAUGUAUGUUAUGGCACUCAACUUGCAGAUUCCCGAGGUGACAUUGGGGUAAUCUAUGCAUAGGGGUUGAUGCACGUUUUUAUUAUCUUUUCUCCGAUAGAAACUUUGGGGUCUCUUUGUAGUUCUUUGUGUGGAUGGAGUAUUAUGAAUAUGAAUUUGCUUUGGCGUUAUUUUAGUAUGAACUCUUGAUUAGAUAGAUCGGAAAUAAUAGCUUGUGUUAUUUUAGUAUGAACUAUAGGAUAGAUUGAUCGGAAAGAAUAGCUUCGAGGUGGUUUCGUACCCUACAAACAAUUUCUAUCUUUUGUUCUCCGCUAAUAGGAACUCGGGAGUGAUUCUUUAUUGCACUUUGAGGGAUAAUCAUAUGAUCCAACUAUGUUAGCACUGUUGAGAGGUUGCACUAGUGAAAGUACGGACCCUAGGCCUCGUUUUCAAGCAUUGCAAUACCCUUUUUGUGCCCGUUUACUAUUUGCUACCUUGCUGUUUUUAUUUAUUCAGAUUAUAAAAAUAUAUUUCUACCAUCAAUAUUACACUUUGAUCACCAUCUCUUCGCCGAACUAGUGCACCUAUACAAUUUACCAUUGUAUUGGGUGUGUUGGGGACGCAAGAGAUUUUUUAUAUUUGGUUGUAGGGUCGUUUGAGAGAGACCAUCUUCAUCCUACGCCUCCCACGGAUUGAUAAACCUUAGGCCAUCAACUUGAGGGAAAAUUGCUACUGUCCAACAAAACUCUGCGCUUGGAGGCCCAACACGUGUCUAAUAGAAUAAAGUUGCGUAGUAGACAUCAAUGAGCAGUUAGCCGCAAUAAAUAUUUUUCAUAACACUCCUUGGUAUGCUGAUUAUGCUAAUUAUAUUGUUGCUAUUUACCACCUAGCUUUACAUACCAACAAAAGAAAAAAAUGUUUUAUUAUUUAAGACAUUACUUUUGGGAUGACCCACAUCUUUAUAAAGAAGGAGUAGAUGGUAUUAUUAGACGAUGUGUAGCUGAGCAUGAACAGGGACAAAUCCUACGGAAAUGUCACUCCGAAGCUUGUGGAGGGCAUCAUGCUGGAUAUAGAACUACUCAUAAGGUAUUGCAAUCUGGAUUUUAUUGGCCCACUCUCUUCAAGGAUGCCCGUAAGUUUGUCUUAUCUUGUGAUGAAUGUCAAAGAAUAGGUAAUAUGAGUAAGCGUCAAGAAAUGCCUAUGAAUUAUUCACUUGUUGUUGAACCAUUUGAUGUUUGGGGAUUUGAAUACAAUGGGACCUUUUCCUUCCUCUAAUGGGUAUACACAUAUUUUGGUUGAUGUUGAUUAUGUUACUAAGUGGGUAGAAGCUAUCCCAACCAGUAGUGCUGAUCACAAAACCUCUAUUAAAAUGCUUAAGGAAGUUGUUUUCCCAAGGUUUGGAGUCCCUAGAUAUUUAAUGACUGAUGGUGGUUUACACUUUAUUCAUGGCGCUUUACGCAAAAUGCUUGCCAAGUAUGAUGUUAACCAUAGAAUUGCAUCACCUUAUCAUCCUUAGUCUAGUGGUCAAGUUGAACUUAGCAAUAGAGAAAUAAAUUUAAUUUUACAAAAGACUGUCAAUAGGUCUAGGAAGAAUUGGUCUAAGCAAUUAGAUGAUGCACUUUGGGCUUAUAGCACAACAUAUAAAAAUCCUAUGGGUAUGUCUCCUUAUAAAAUGGUUUAUGGAAAAGCUUGUCAUUUGCCUCUUGAGUUAGAACAUAAAGCAUAUUGGGCAAUCAAAGAACUCAACUAUGAUUUCAAACUUGCCGGUGAAAAGAGGUUAUUUGAUAUUAGCUCAUUAGAUGAAUGGAGAACCCAAGCUUAUGAAAAUGCCAAGUUAUUCAAAGAGAAAGUUAAAAGAUGGCAUGAUAAAAGAAUCCAAAAGCGUGAGUUUAAAGUUGGAGAAUUUGUUCUUUUGUACAACUCUCGUUUCAGAUUUUUUGCAGGAAAACUCCUCUCUAAAUGGGAAGGACCCUAUGUUAUCGAGGAGGUUUAUCGGUCUGGAACUAUCACAAUAAAUAAUGCCGAAGGUACUAACCUAAAGGUUGUCAAUGGGAAGCAAAUAAAACAUUAUAUCUCAGGUACGCCCAUUAAUGUUGAAAGUAAUAUUAUCCAAACAAUGUUACCGGAGGAACACAUAAAAGAGUCCUUCCAGAACACUCCAGAAUCAUGAAAAUAAGGAGGUACGUGAUACGGUACAUAAACGGACUCCAAAAAAUUCGCAAAAUAAUUUUUGUCAGUUUUGGAAUAUUUAGAAAAUUUGGAAAAUAAGAAACACUGGGAAAGUGACCUUGGUGGGCACAAGACACCAUGGCGCGCCUGGCUGCCAGGCGUGCCCAGGUGGGUUGUGCCCACCUGGGGCACCUUACGGACUCUGUUUUUCUCUUGUUUGCUUGUUUCCCAAGAUAAAAAUCUUUAUAUACCCCUAGAACCUAUUGACCAUCGUAUCGUGGAGAAAUCUUCUAUCUUCUUUUCUUGCUGUUUCUCUGAUAGAUCUGAAAAUAUGUCAUCACAAGACUUUGAGGGAGAGAGCUAUGUUGCCGAUUUCAUUGCAAACCCCAAGUAUUAUGGGGAUGUGGGGCACUAUUGCUGGACCUCCGAAGAGGAUGAAAAUGAACCAGUUCCUCCCUAUUUCAAAAACGAAAGCAUGGAGGCAUUAUGCAAGAGGAUAAUAAAGCUCGAGAUGGAGAACGAUGAGUUGAGAGUAGAUAACUUUAUCCUUUGGAGUAAGCUAGAGGAAAAGAAGGGAAAACCCUCUACUUCUUCAUCACCACCACCUCCUUCUUCAUCACCAAAAGAAAAUUGAGUAUCGGGUAUGGGCACUCCCCUUGGCUUCCAUCAAGCUUGGGGGAGGUGCCCCGGUAUCGUAUCAUCCCCACUAUCUUUUGUCUUUACUUAUUUUAGUUUGAUCUUUUGCUUUAGAUGAAUAAAAGUUUAGUUCGAUCCUUUCUUUUCGAGAGCUUGCUUAAUGAUCUAUCCUUGUAAUUGUGUGCAAGAUAUAUAAUACAGUUUAGUUUGAGUUUUUGCUUUCUUUACUUUCAUGUUGCAAUAAAAAGAAAGGAAAUAAAUGAAAAGAUCAUAUGCUAAUCUUAUGAUAGGUGAUGAUACCACAUAAGGAAAAGUGUAAGUAGGAAAUUUUAUUAGAGAUUGACAAACAUAGCAUUGGUCAAUGAUGCAACUCAUGAAAGAAUUAAAAAGGAAAGAGAAGAUUCACAUAUAAAUACACUAUCCUAAAAAUCUUUUGUGAUUGUGACCCCCCAUCAAAAUAUUAUAUGCCAAAAUUUUUGACGUUGGACAAGGAAGACAACAUAAUGAUUUAUGUUUGUUCUUAUUCACAUAGAAGUUAUAUUGUCAUAGAUCCUUCAAUAUGUGGUGCUUGCCCCUAUCUUUGCUAGCCAAAAAUUCCGCACUAAGUAGAGAUACUACUUGUGCAUCCAAAAACCCAUAAACCCAAAUCUUAUUUUCAAGAGUCCACCAUACCUACCUAGGGAUUGAGCAAGAUCCCUCAAGUAAGUUUUCAUCAGUGCAAUAAGGCAAUAAAAAUUGCUUCUAAAAGUGUGAGAUCAUUUAGUGUAAGAGAAAAUUGAGCGUUGUACGAACUUGUGAUGGUGAAGAAUAAAAGCGACAGACUGCAUAACAAAGGUUGCUAUCACAAGGGGCAAUACAACAUGACGUUCUUUUGCACUAAGGCGUUGAGCAUACAAACAAAUAAGCGCUUGGCAACCUCUUCUUCCCUAUGCGAAGGGCCUAUCUUUUACUUUUAUGUAUUUACUUUUAUGCAAGAGUCAAAGUUUUCCUCUCUAUUCCUUUUAUUUUUCUCCUUUGGCAAGCAUCAUGUGGUGAGGAAAGAUCUAGGCACAUAUGUCCAGUUGAAUAUGGGUGGCAUGAGUUAUUAUUUUUGACAUCACCCUUGAGGUGAAUAUGUUGGGAGGCGAAACUAUAAGCCCCUAUUUUUCUAUGUGUCCGAUUGAAACGUUUUGCUCAUGUGUAUGCAGUGAGUGUCCGGUUGAAACUAUAUGAUGGUUGAUUAUGUGGACUUGCCUAAAGGCUCCGAUACAUGACCCUUCUUGAAAAGGUAAUGAAUUGUAGUUGCAAAGCUGACUGAAAACAUAGUUUGUUGGUUUCUAUGCUUUAUACUUCAAUUGUGUGAUGAACUGUUACUUAUUCAUGAGAAGUUUAUGACAAAAGCUCUAUGAUAAAAGUCUUAUGUUCAAAUUUGUUGCUGUUGUAAUAAUCUACAUGAUGCUUCUAUGUCCUUAUUUUAUUUUUAACGACACCUCUCUCUCUCUCUCUCUCUAAGCAUGUGGACAUGUUUUUCGAUUUUGGUUUUUGCUUGAGGACAAGCGAGGUCUAAGCUUGGGGGAGUUGAUACGUCCAUUUCGCAUCAUGUUUUCCUAUUGUUAUUUAUGAUGUUUUUAUGCAUAAUAAUGCUUUUUGGAGUAAUUCUAAUGCCUUUUCUCUCAUAAUAUGCAAGUACAAAAAAGGGAGAAUUCCGGCAGCUGGAUAUCGGGACCUGGAAAAGCUACGACAGGCCACCUAUUCUGCACAACUCCAAACAAGCUGAAACUUCACGGAGAUUUUUAUGGAAUAUUUGAAGAAUAUUGGAGCAAAUAAGUACCAGAGGGGGCCCACCAGGUGGGCACAACCCACCUUGGCGUGCCAGGGAGCCCUGGCGCGCCCUGGUGGGUUGUGCUCACCCAGGCCCACCUCCGAUGCCCAUCUUCUAGUAUAUAAGUCAUUUUGACCUAGAAAAAAAAA